This 87201-nucleotide long non-coding RNA is filed under the name Capsella rubella. RNAcentral's name for it is "long non-coding RNA (CRUB_LNC005190)". The stretch from base 18320 to 18393 matches the Rfam family "tRNA". Lineage: Eukaryota; Viridiplantae; Streptophyta; Magnoliopsida; Brassicales; Brassicaceae. The record is from RNAcentral.
GACAAUUCUAGCAUGUUACAAUAUCAUAAUAUACAUCUACGGAAUGUAAUUCUGCUGUCAAAAAUAUAUAUGUAAUUUUGCACUGAGUGCGAAUAUAUUAUAUUUUUUUUUAAAAAAAAAAUUGUUAUCGUAAAUGAAUAACUAUUAUACACAAAUGUAAUAACUAGAUUUACUAACUGAAAUAUAUUUAUAACUAUUUAUGCUAUAAAUGUUAUAUAUUGUAAUUGUUGUAGAUACAUCAUUUUGUUAAUAUAGUUAUUUAAAAAAAAAAAAACAAAAUUCACGCACCACAUUAACAUAAAUUGUCUCUAUCCUAAGUUUUUUCCUUUAGAUAUGUAAGAGGAAGUUUGUUUUUUUGUAUCAAACACAUGUAUAAUGGUCUACUUGUCUUAAUCACUUUAUAUUUCCCAACUAAGCAAAGAAUAUCUUAGAACCUUGCUCUUCAUUCUUGAUUUUGAGGAUCUAAAAAGAUGAAAAAUAGUAACUUACUAAAGAAGUUUUUAUUGACUCUGCCAUAUAUAAGCUUUUCCUGAUAGUGGUAGAGUUGUUGUUUUGAUCCGUGAUUGGCUUAUUGCUAUGAAUAUGAAUUCAAACUUGUGAAUAUAUUAUAAAUAAAAUUAAAAGAUGUAAAAGAAAAUAAAGAAAAAAAGUUGGAAAACAAAGCACUUUUCUCUCUUUUGCUUUAGGGAAAGAGUUAAACAGCUUGCAAUGUCCACUUUAAGUUUUGUGUUUUUAUUUCAUUAAAGUUAUAUAAUAUAUACAAAAUAUUUCACAACAAUAUAAUUUUCUAAGCAUGUUUUCAUCAGUGCGUAAAUGUUUUUGUAAAGUGAGACUGCUGCAUUCACAUUUUUUACUAUAUAAGAUUUUGUACCCAUAUAUAAAACGUAACCCUCUUUGGUCUAUUUUGAAGUCAUUACAUAAUUUACAUUACAUUUACAUGCAAUUUAUUAAAACGCUAACAAGAUUCAAGCCGUACGAAAAUGGUAGGUACUAAUCAAAGGACGACGAUAUACGGAGAUCUGAAUAUCGCACAUACAUGUGAUAUGUCCUAAUUAAUUAUAUGAUUAUAAUCAUAUAAUGAGACAACAAAACAGAUAUAAAAGCGAAGUUAUAAUAAUCAUAUAAUAAUUUUAUUAAUUUUUUCAUAUGAUUUAUGAUGAUUGUCACGUAACAAAAAGAAAGAAAAAAAAAAUGAAAAAUUAUUGUAAUGUCUUCAAACUAACGUACAUCAUUAUUAUUGAAUUCAUCUGUUUUUCUUUAAGUUUUAGAUUUUAUAAUUAAUAUACUAGUAAAUAAAGAUAUUUCACUCAUCAUAGUUUAAUACAAAAUUUACUUGUCAAUUUUACUGUAAAGUGUUAGUUAUGUGGGCAAUUCUAAUUUACUACUUUUCAGUAAAUUAAAAAGGUAGCUAGAGAUAUCUCUUGUUUUAAGCUGAAGUAUUUAUUCAUUGGAUAGACUGGUGGAAAAAGUAUAAACUGGAAAAUAAAGUAAUUAACAUAAUUAAUUGCAACAAUUGUGGUUUAGUUGUGAAAAUUAAUUUAGCUUAAGUCACAAAAUACUACAUUUACAUUUCCAAAUAACAUCUAUAUAGAUUUUCACUUACAAAACCCAUGAUAUGUGUUUUUAUUUAUUUAUUAUUAUUCAUGAUGAUAUCCAAUUGUAUUAAGAAACGUGAAAAUAACCCCCCAAAAAUAUUAGUUUGUUACAUCUUUGGAUUUUCUUUUUUUUUUUUUUUGUUAAACACGUACAUCUUUGGAAUUUAAUCAGCAAAGACCACAGAAAAGAGUAAAAAAAAAAAAAUUAAGGAAGAAGAGAAAUAUGAGGGAAACACACUGUUCAGAUUAAAAUAUUUAGCUGCUGAACUCAAUCAUCUUCUUCUGCUGAUUCAAGUUCUUAUAAAACUUCUUUAUAAAAUCAUCAGCCGCUUUGUCCACGUGUCUCUUGCCCACGUCAUCAUUCUCCGGCGUUAACGGGAACGGUGAGUCAGUUACUCUUAACGGUCUCACCAACGGGGUCCGUCCAAACCCGGGGAAGUAAGGGGACAAAGCCACAGUUAAAUCUCCCGGAGUUAGGUUUCCUUUGUCUCCAACGCCGUUAAGAAGCUCAAGAACGGCUCUAGCGGCUGCUGAGUCGUCGUCGAGAGUCUGAGGCGUUUGACCACACGUGAAGAGACCAUUGUGACUCUUUUUCUUCAUGAAAGCCAUGUUGGGGAAAGGGAAUGAAUAGUUUGGUGUGUUGCUGCAGCUGAACUCGUACUCUUGUCGGGAUAUCGCGGUGGCUGAUGAGGCAGCGUUUAAAGCGUCUGAGGAGGUGGAAGCAGCGGCAGGGACGCGACGACGGUGGUGGAACAUGAGGUUCUUGCCACGUUUUAGAGUGGCGUUGAAGUCGGCGAUGAGUUUGUGUUUUGAUACACCUUUGCGAAUCAUGUACAAGAGAAAACGUACGAUGUUCCAUAGCUUCUUGCUUAUUGGUACGUUUUGAUCCAUAUCGAUCUUUUAGAAAGACAAGAAGAAAAGAGAUUUGUAUUAUUGUUUUUUUUUUUUGUUUUGGAGUUUGAUUACUUAUGAGCUAAGGAGAAGAAAUGUGAAGGGUUUAUAAAGGAAGAAAGAGAGAGAGAAAUGUACUAAAACGUGCAAGAUUAUAAAAAAAGAUUUUAAAGACAAAGCAAAAGCUUAUGUACAUUUACUUACUAUUGGUGCAUAAUUAUUGCAUCCAUAUCACUUUUAAAUAAAACAAAUUUAGUGAAUAUAGACCCUAUUUUAUAUUUUAGGUUCUAUGUGUCUUUUCUUUGUUUUUAUUUUAUUUUUAAGUAUGUGUGAAUUAUUGUAGCCUCCGACCAAAACUUGAUACAUACGAUCAAGAUUCUACGGUAAAUAGUUUUCUUGUAAAGUUAUAUCGCUGGAAUUGAAUCUUUAGUCAAGAAUUGAAUCUUUAGUCUUUUGACAAUUGGAUAAAAAUGAUUCAGAUAUUUUUUACCAUUUAAUGUUACCACAAUGAACAACGUCCAUAAAUGUUUGUUUCGUUUGCAUGCAUGCAUCUAGCAAGUUAAUGGUAUAUAUAAGCCCAUAACUUAAAUAAAGAUAUGUAUGUUUGGUAUGUCUUGUUAGCUAUACGAAACUGAUAUUUUAAGACAAUUAGAUAUAAUCAAGUUAGAUAUUUAGGGAUUCAUGUGGCAUCAAAUCGACAUGCCUACUUUGUCAUACGAUCAUUAAAACAAAUAUCUAAUUGUAGCCACUUGAUAUAUAAUAUUAAUCAACCCGAAUAACAACAACAGAAAAGCAGAAACGCAGAAACAAAAAUACAAUUUAAGAUGGAAGAGAGCUAUAUAGCAAACUUUUUUACAUCAACCUUUUUGUACUUUAGAUUGCACUAUGCCACUAUGUGUGAUAAUCUAUAUACGGAUUUUAUAGGUCUUGCUUUAAGUGUUAAGUAAUUGCUGCAUACUUUUCUAAAUGUCGUUGUUAAGCAAAUUGAAUUCAAAUAAUUAUUUUUCUAUUUGGGACACAAUAUUCAUCCUAAACAACACUAAUAUUUUUGUUUCGUUUGAUAUGAAGCAAAAUAUCUUGGUAUUUUAUAAUUUAUAAUUCGUAGAAUUUUCAUUGAAAUGAAACCAAAUUUACGGUUUAGUUCGUAAACAAAUAGCCUAAAAUUAUUUGAAAAUAUUUUAAAUUAAAAUUACUAUUUUGAUACGACCCAAAUUUAUAUAUAUAUACACAUUUUAGGCUGAUAUUAUUAGAAGAAAAUUUCGACCUAAAAUUUUAGCAUUUUUCUGAACAUUCAAAUACUUUGAUCUAAAUCUGAGCCUUUUACCCAGUUUAUAGUGAUCCAUUGGUUAAGUACUCAAGUGAUACAUUCUAGGCUGAGCUUUUAAAUCAGAACUCUCAAAGAUUAUUAGACUAGAUUUUGGUUUGCCUCUAAGUUAUUUUUCAUAAAAAUUCUCAACCUUAUCCUACAAAUCCAAUUUGUCGCUGUGGAAACCUACACCAGAUAGAGAUAGACAUGGUUGAGUCAUGAGUGUAAUGAUUGCCAUAUAUUUAAGGAAAGGAGAAAAGGAUAAAAUGUGUGAUGGGACAAUUCUUUUGUAAAAGAUGUGUUGGAAUUCAUUCUUUGAAAGCUAAAAUGCAACAAUAAUAAUAACAAGAAAAGAAAAAGAUAGUUCAUAAGUUCAUCAUCAUCACUCAUAAUCAAACUACAAAGCAAACAGUUCUUAACAAAACACACUGUUUUAUGUGUUCACAGCAACAUCCAAGAACAACAACAUGACAGUUUUACAAUACAGCCAAAAAGGCAAAAGCUUAGUCUGAAAGAAAAGAGUGCAAAUACAGUAAAUCUCAAACAAAGGACCAGUUGAUGAACACAAAGCAGAUGCAAUGAGCAUUCUCUUCUUCAUUCAGUACUUUCCAAGCAACUGCUCUCUCAUACGAAACUGGUCUCCCCAUGCUUGAGAGGCAUAUCCCACCUUGAAGGCAGGCAAAACCCUGAAACAAAUAUCUCAGUUACACAACAAUAAAAUAAAAUAGAUAAGAAUGAAGAUCAGAGAAUGUUUCUGAAACCUGUUGCAUGAUCUGUGGGAACUCUGAGCAAAGAGUCUUUCUUCCAUUGUCAUCAAAUAUCUUCUCUAAAGAGAUGUCUUGAAGGGAUACUAAUGUAGUCUCCAGCAUGUCGAGUCCCGCCUGGUUUGCAAAUGUGAAGACGGGCAAGGCCUAACCAAUAUUCAAAUGCCAAAACAGAUUAGUGUGUACACUAGCCACUAGUCAAGUAGUCUUUUUGAUAUAUGUUGUGUUUUUUUUUACCUUCAUUGAGCAGCAGAUUAUAGCAUCUGUGUGAUGCCAAAGAUUCUUAAGAAUAGAUUCAUUGCCUUCGCUGUUUGACUUAAGUAGCUCAACACCCAUGUAGCCCCUAUUAUAAGGCGAAAUGAGUCAGCUUUAGUAAACUGCACAUUAUUGAUUUUGUGGAAAAUUAAAAACAUAUAUGAUAACUUGGCUUAUACCUGUAACUCUGGCAGAUCCAACGAGCAAGUGUUUGGGCUUCUGGAGUACCCAAAGGAGUGCGUAGACCAACUUGUGAACUGAUAUGAGAAGGAGAAAGAGCCAGUGCUACUCGCUGCACCGAUGAUAUGAUACCUCGAACAUACUGCCUAGCCAUGGAUGCUACAUGUUCUUGCAUAUGGCUCUCGAUACCAAACUCAAAUGCUAUUGUCAUCACAGAUCUUGCACAUGUGGAGCUUCCUGAUUGAUCAGAAGAGGCUUUUGUUCCAGCUGAACCAAUUUCCAGUGCCGAAGCAAGAUCCAAGGUUCGGUUUGGACUAGAUACUUCCUGCUUUCGGGAUUAAAAAAAAGCUUAAGAAUAUGAAAAUCUGACAUAGAAGACUUCAGUUGAAAACAUAAUUUAUUCUAAGUUUCUAACCUUUGCGGAAUCAAGGGGGAUAAUACGAAAGCCAGAAGGAAGCAGAGGUGCAUCAUCAGCAAACGAAGCAUCGAUUGGAGCAAAAAUAAGCUCAGCACAAGUUCCUACAGCACUUUCAUCCAUUCCGCUACAAAGCUAAUCACAAGAAAGAUAUAUUUCAGGUACUAGAUAUCUAUAGUAAAACCUUAUGCAGAAUAGACAACCUAGAGUACUCACUUGAAGAAGGAAGAUAUCUCUUGGAACAAUUGCAUCUUCAGGGGAAUGACCAAGACCUUCCAAUUUGAUGACUUCCAUGAACUGAGAAUGAAAACAACACCAACCAUUACUUCAACUUAAUUUUAGGAGGUAAAAGAUAUCCACUAAGAGCAUCAAAUAAACUUGAACUAACCUCUUCAUGCUCAAUAGUAUGAGCAAGUGGAAGUAUAACUUGCCCUCCAAAUCCUCCAACUCGGGCACUACAAGGGCCCACUUUAACUGCUGCUGCUAAAUAUGCAUCAAUGUUGUUGUCAGCCCAUUCUGAUCUAUGCUCCCUCAGAAACCGAAGCAGGAUCGCGGGAGGAACAUUCUGUAGUUGCAUAAUCCAAAAAAGAGGUGAGAAAGUGUUCGAACAAUCAUCACUUGACCUAUAAAAAUAAAGUGGUGCACUGACCUGUAAAAGCAUUGAUGCUUUUGCACAUAAAACAACACUGCUUACAGGAGCAAAGCCAUUGGAAAAUGUAAGAUUUAGACCCAUUAACUUGUCUGGAGAAGAGUUCACAGUGAUUGUGACAUCAUCCAUGCUAUCUCCUAUCACUGACCAUCCUUCAUCGGUGAAACCAUUAACAGCUUCAUUGAAGCCUCUGUAGGGAAAAAUGUAUAAGAUAGCAAUAUAUAUAGAACCCAAACCCAUCGAGAAGAAGAGGCAAAUCGUAAUUUAUGUGAAUACCUGCUUAGCCUCUGACUGAGAGCUCUUAAGGCAGCAGGACGACGUCCCCACCCAUUAACACUACUAUUAGUCUGAGUAACCUCUUGAGCUAUUUGCUUGAGCUGACGCAGUGCCUUUGAGACAAAUUGGAUAAAUGAAAUUCAAUCAAGAAAAAUAAUAUUUAAUAUAUCAGAAUGAAACUUAGGAGAAUAAAUGAGUUUAAUUAACAUACUGCCAUUGUUGUCUUCUGGGCAAGUACUUUUGGUGACUCAUAGAGCGGGCGCAAGACCUCAGGCACACUACAAGCCUAUUUAACAGAACAAUAUCCAAAAAAAUUGGUUAACAUUUCCAAAACACUGAUCGGAUGGAGCAUUAGAAUUGGUGCAGAGUGAGGCUUGUUACCUCCAAAUCCAUGUGAUCCACUAUGUGUAUGAUUGAGCCACCACCAUCACAAGGCCGUAUCAAGUACCCACUGGGAAGCAUCUCUGCUCUAACAAAAUUCUGAACCAGUGGCAUACUAGGACCGUUUUGAGUGCUCUUAAGAGAUCUCUCACACACCUAUAAUUUUAUAUUCGUUACUCCGUGUGAAAUAGAACAACAUGAAUAUGGAAGCCAUCACACUAAAACAAGCAUAUAUUUAAAAGCUACAUACCACAAGACUGCCAUCUUCUAACACAGAUGUGUAACGUAACAGCCAGAAAUCGCGUGGUGGGGCCAACGUAGUUGGUGCAUAGAGCUGCAAAGAUCAAGAAGAUGGUGGUCAUUAUCUUUAACUUUAGAAAAAUAAUACUAACUGUAGCACAUAUAGUUUAAAACUAACCUGCAUAUAAAGCAGCUCAACGGUUCCACCAUUGGCUGUUGGCAACACGUUCAUAACAUCAACAGCUCGACAUUCGCGGAACCACGAAGGACGAUCCUUGACGAUCUCUGCGACCUGGAAAAUAGAGAAAACAGAUUAAUUUUGUUACGUAUGUAAACACAUGUGGACUUGUACAAGAUUGUAUAGAUAUGAAAAUGAGAAUGAUUCUAUGCACGUACCCUUGUAGGCUCAAGACCCACUAGGCCACAGGCGCGUGCUGCCACACCAGUGCAACCAUGAGAAAUUGCGAUGAUUCCAAUGGAAUCCGGACCAGGCUGUUACAGAAAUACAAACCAACCAUUAAGGAAAAAGCAGAACAAACAAUUUGCUAUCUUACACUAUAUCCAGUUAACAAAAACAAAAUGAGAGGAAUUGAAGCAAGAACAUACCUUCAUUCCAGGCAUCUGAACCCACUCAACAGCGGUUCCAGUUGCCUUUGAAAGAAACUCUGCUAAAGUUUCUUCUGCAAUGGACAAAAGCCUGAAAACAUAAAAAUGUAUCGUUAAAUAUCAGAAAAUAUGACAAAGAGAAUUUUUUAACUAACAGAGUAACCAUGUCCCAAUUAAAGAACCAACCCUGCAGGACUAGCAUCUCUUUGGGGAUUUUGAGAUGCCAAUUGGUGUUGACCACUCGUCACCACCGAUUCACAGCUUGUGUCUUUAGCUGGGAGUGAAGGCUGGAUAAAAAAAAAAAAAGAAGACAAAUUGAUACACAUACCAUCAAAAAAAUAUUAUUAUUCUUAUAAGAAAAUAUUCUAGAGAUCAUUAAAAUAAGGAAACGAAGAUGUUGCAAGAGCAGUAUCCUCACAUUGGGAGUAUGUUGACGGAAGUAGCUGUUUUCAUGGACCAGCUGUGACACUUGCUUCUGCAACCUAUCAUUCUCCUCCAUCAAGAGCUUGUUCAUUGCCGUCAACUUCCGAUUCACAGCUUGAAGCCGUGAAGCCUCUUUCCUUUGUUUCUCUCUGCAUCUGAAGUUUAUAACAAAAACAAAAAUAACAAAGAUUGGAUCAACUAGAUAGAAAAAAGAGAACACCACAGAAAUUUUCAAUUACUACUAUUUUCCUAGCAAUGUAUAUAAAUUAUUACCUUCGGUUCUGAAACCACACUUUGAUCUGUUUAGGCUCAAUGUUAGAGAGAAUAGGACACUCUCUGAUCAACUGCUGACGGCGAAUUGAACUCGGUUUAGGACAUUCAUGAUAAAGCCUCUCAAGUGCUUCAACUUGUUCAGGUGUGUACCUCACAUACUUGCCGUUAUCCAAACAUCCCAACUUAUCCUUGCAAGACAUUGCCAUUACUCCUCAAACUAUUCUUCUGAUUCACAAUCACAGAAUCCACACCCCUCCAGAUGGUAACCAAAGUCUACUCUUUUCUAACAGAAGAUAACCUUACAAAAACCACAACAUACUAAAAAGGAGACAGAGAGCUUCUUCUUAAUCCACCACAAAGUUGCACAGCUUGAACAACUCCAAAUUUAGUUCCACAACCAAAUCUAAACCAUCUCAAAUCCUAAGCAUUUCGAGUGAGACUUCAGAAAUCACAUUACCGCAUAAAUAUCGAAAUUAUGUUGCCUUAACCACUUGAAACACACACGAGAGGCUUUUCUUCAUGUAAUCUCAAAAGGGCACAAAGACCAAAUCUAUCCUUUUUAAGAAGCUCAAAUACCAAAACACAAGAAAAAAAAAAAGACUUUCUUUCCCCCAAGAUUACAACUUUCCCUUUUACAAACACCGAAAAAAUAAAAAGAUUCGAACUUUUCAGAAACACAAACACACACCUAAAAAAAGAAACAAAAAACAAGAAAGUUACAACCUUUAUUAUCUAUUUUCUCGUGACAGAAUCACCGAGUUGACUCAGCCAUUAGAAACAACGAUUGCCCAGAUAACUCGAAACGAAGAAGAAGCCAUAGUAUCAACAGUUCUCAAACCCAUAUUCUCCUUCUCCGAGCUCUCAUUGAGUAGAAAAAAAAAUGAAAACUUUAUAGGAAAGAAAGAACCCUAGAAAUUGUAAUGGAAGAAGAGAGAAAAGAAAGAAAGAGGAAAGUAGAAGAGACGAAGAGGAAGAUGUAUGUAGAGAAAACAAAUCAUGAAGCUACUGUACUGUUAGUAGAUGUUAUCUACUUUGUUAAAUUUUUAGUAUUUUUAUUUUCGUCUAGCUCGUUCAUGGCAACUUUGAAUUUUUAUUAUUAUUUUUUUGGCUUUUUUAAAUCUAACUUUUAAAAAUUUUAUUUAAAAUAAUGAGUUGAUAGUGGUGUUGCGUUUGUGAAUCAACUUUUUCGUUGGCAUUUUUUUUUCUGAUUGGCACAUUUCAUAACCCAACAACACCUCGAGGAGAAAACCAAAUAUUUCACUUUUUGUCUAAAGUACCCUUGUCUCUUUGUUUUGGGUUCCAAGAUAAUACCAGUAGAACCUACAAAAAGUGUAAAUAAAAUAGUGACAUGUUAUGGUUAGUUAAAAGUUUUCAAAAAUAAAAUUAUUUAAAAUUCAUGAAAUUUCAUCGAUCAUUACUAUAUAAGAAGAUCACAAAAAGAUUGGACGACCAUGCGAAGUAUAAAAUUGUAGAAAAAUGAUUUAUAAUUUUGGAUUAAAUUUAGUGAAAAUUUUGGCAUUCUAUAUUCAUUAAGACAUGUUCGACAACUACAUUAUAUUGAUAGUAUGAGUAAUAAGAGAGUGGCAAAAGUGUAAAAAGGGUGAGAAAGGAAGGGUAAAAAAGGUAAGUAGAGGAGGAAUACGAAAAAGGGGCGUGGGAGAGAGAGGUCUGGGCGACUGCGUAGGGAGACAGAGACAACAUCAUUACCUUCUUUGCAUGCGUCUCCCUUCUCCUCCUCCUCCGUCUUAAAGCUCAAGCUACUUUUUUUUUCUUUCACAUUCUUAAAAAAAAGAGUUUUUUUUCUUUGUCAAACUACAAUUUUCCCAAUGAUAUAUGUAAAAAGAAUGGUAUUAGCAUAUUAUAUAUUAUAUUAUACUCCUGAAUUGAAAUUGCUCAUCAUGAUAAAUUCAUUGUGUGGCUUUCCAAGUGGUUACUUUCAAGUUUCAACUUUUUCAAUUACCAAAAUAUUUUUCAUUAUUAUAGAUAGACAACUAUAAAAAAAAAAGAAAAAAAAGCGUAGAAUUUGAUUUGUACAGAUGGUAUGGACUCUUAACUUCGAAGCAGGCCAGACUACAGUCAAGCCCAUUGGGUGUCAUGGGAUAGUGCAAUUGUUUUUCUUUGUUAAUGGCCUUUGUUUCAUUAAGUUAACGUCACUUUUUCUCUGGUCAAAAUAAAUUGUUAGGUGUUUACUGAGAUUUUAGCUGAGAUUUAACAUCAAAUUGUUAUUCUGGUCAAAAGAUCAUUUGCUAAUUGUAGAUUACAUAUCUGAACCGAACCAAAUAGUCAUAAAACCCGAACAGAUAAUGAAUUUCUUUCUCUACUUGAAUCAUCCAAAACCGACAUUUAUCGUAAUCGAAUUCAAACUCAAACCGAAUAAUCUUAAAAAGUUAAAAUUUUCCAACCCUGUAUUGGUCUAAUUGUAGUAAUUAUUAUAAAAAAAUGCUAAAUGGAUAAUGUUGAUUAUCAUAUAAAUAUUCUUUUUUAAAAGAAAAUAGUGACAUGUUUGCAUAUUUCCCUACAUAAAUCUUUUCUCUCUACCCGUUAUCAUACCUUUUAUUUUAUUUUAUGUUUUUGUGUAAUGUUCUUGCAGUACUUGUCCAAAAUAUAUCACCAACUUGCUAUAUUACUUUAUUAAAAAUAAAUCGAUGUUCUUGACUUAAAAUUUGUAUUGUAGUGACUUCCACGUUGCUUUCUAUUAUAACAACCAAAUUAGCGCAUAUGAUUUAAGUGGUAAACUGCACCACGAAAUUAAAGCAACGAAACUACAAACACAUUGACACAUACUUACUAAAAUAAAAUAUCAAAACCCUAAAGUCACAACAACGACCAACAAAAAUAUUAGAAAAUGAGUAUUUGGUGAUCAAAAACUCAACGACAAAAAGGAGGGAGAGAGAGAGUGGGUUAGUUGAAUGGCCAUUUUGUUCGCAUGUCUCUUCUCAAAUCUCCUCCACCUUCUUUUUAUGCUCUUCCUUUUUUCCCGACGACUCUCCAAAACUAUAAUUUUUUUAUAUAUAUUUUUUUGUAUAUUCCAAUUCAAAACUAUGCUUUUAUUCUACUUAUUCAUAUACAAGAACUUAUUGUGUUUAUGAUUUAAUCAUUAUUUUAGUGUAUAUUAUACACAUGUAAUUGCAAAAACGAUAUAUACAAAUUUCAGAUUAUUUUAUGAUGAUUUAUAUUUUUGUAAAUGAAAAUUGAGUAAUUUAAUAAUUAGUUAGAGAUAUUAGUGGAAUUGAUCUAACGACAGUUUAAGUCUUUUAAAUUAAUUGGUUUAUCCAACAAUAAACACCAAAAUUAAAUUAGUGCAAAAGACAAGUGUCAAUAUAUUAUAGAGAUUCAUAAAUACAAAUUAGAGAAACCCCCAACAGAAAAUGUGAAGCUUCUCAUUUGUCUCAUUCUUCUCCUGAGAUUAAAAGCUUUCUCUCUUCUUCUUCUUCUUUAAUGGAAGAAUCUCAGGGCAUUAAUGGCGUCGAUGAUUCAUAUCGUCAUCUCCCAGUUCUCUACUUAACUUUCUUAUCGAUCUGGUCUCUCUCUGCUUGUUCUUGGACGGUUAACACUUUCAAAAAUCGACACUUUCAGGUCAAUCUGAUCUCUCUCUCUCUCUCUCUCUCUCUCUCUCUACCGUACUCCGUACCNNNNNNNNNNNNNNNNNNNNNNNNNNNNNNNNNNNNNNNNNNNNNNNNNNNNNNNNNNNNNNNNNNNNNNNNNNNNNNNNNNNNNNNNNNNNNNNNNNNNCUCUCUCUCUCUCUCUCUCUCUCUCUCUCUCUCUCUCUCUCUCUCUCUCUCUCUCUCUCUCUCUCUCUCCUCCUCCUCCUCCUCUCUCUCUCUCUCUCUCUCUCUCUCUCUCUCUCUCUCUCUCUCUUUUAGUUUGAUAAAGCUUCGAUUUUUAACUCUUGGGUUUUGAUGAAACUUAUCCUCAAAUCCUUUUAUUUCAGAAUGGUUCUGUUUUUUGUUUUUUGUUUGUUUUGUCUUGUCUCGUUCAUGUUCUUAGAGACACAAUUUGAUUUUGAUUUAUGUGUUUUUGUUUUAGAGCAGACAAAUAGUUUACAAUGGACUCUUGCUUCAGUUCCAUUAAUCAAAGCUUUACAGCUCACUCUAUCUUUCCUAUUUUGGUAAGUCCUCUUUGUGAAGUUAUUAUUGCCAUUAGUGUUCCUUUGGCAAAUUGAGAAACUUUUUCUCUUUGGUACCCUUUUCGGUGUGCAGGCAUUCAUGUUUUCACCAUCACAUUUGCUCUCUUUGGAUGUCUUUCGGUGUCUAUGUGACCGGUGUUCUGUUUCAGACAGCUUCAUUUGUGUCUUUUUUACUCAUCUCUCACGGUUAUUGCAUCACUUGUGAAAGGCUCUCAUUGACUGAACGUAGAACCACAGCUUCGCUUGGUUGUGUCUUUUACCUGACUCUUGUUGGAUACCGAGCUUCUGUUCCUUAUUUUGCAGUGAGUAGUGUUUGUUUACCUUCUUCUUAUCAUCUCACUUGAAGCUAAUGCUUUGCUUAUUAUAUGAUGAUGAACCAAUCUUUUUUUUACUUUCUCCAGGUGCUUUUGAUACUUAACUACAUGAUCUCAUUCUACGUUAUUUUCCACCACAUAUCGCAAAACCUAUCGGUGUUACGAGAACAGCUCAGUUUCAUUGAGGAUGAGAAUGUUCAAGCUAUGCAUGAUGCUGUGUAUGCUAAAUAUAUCAUGUUCAAGUACGUUUCGCCAUUUUUCAGUACAUCCUCAGUUCUGUGGUAGAUCGAAGUAGAUAAACCGCUAAGAGUUUUUAUAUCUUCUUUGGUUUCAGAAAAUUCCAAGGAGCUAUGCAGAUUGUAGCAAUGGCAGAAACUGUGGUAUGAUGCGCAUAUCUUUCUUUUUUUUCACAUCAUGUUGGAUUUUUUACUUACACUCACCUUGGCUUUUCGCAGAUCUAUAUGAACAUGGAUAACUCCUCGCAGAACUAUUGGCUCCGGCUGUUAAUUCGAGAAUGGGCUCAGUUCUGCAUUUUUCUCUAUAUUGGGUAAAGUUAUGAUCCCACUUUUCAACUUCUCAAGUGCAUUACUCUGUUCUAGCUUGGUCAAGAACUAAUGAUGUUCCAAACUAUACAUUUGGCAGUUGGACUUUCAGGUCUCAGGACAUGGCACCACGUUUCUCGGUAAUGCCUACACUUAAACACAAAGAGAAUACAAUCAUUCCUCCGAUUUAUAGCAUGGUAAGUGACACAAUGUAAACUUCCUAGUGCCUUAUCUUGUUUUGCUGAUAUGUUUUAGUUGCAGUAAUGUUCUAGUACUUAUGCUAAUCUAUAUAACUAAAAACUUCAGGAAAUGGACGCAAAAUCAUUUAAAGAGUUCAGAAGUCAUGAAUGGAACAUUGGAGUGGUAAGUCAUUUCAUUAAUGCUAUUGUUCCAUUGUAUCAUCAAGCGAGAGUUAUAUGCAGUAACUCGUUCUGCGAUUGAAUCUUUCUUUGUUUGUAGCCAAUGCCAUAUUCAAACUACGAAAGGCCGAAAGAUUCAGUUCUAGUUAUAAUUCAGCAUCCACGAUAGCAUAAAGAGGAAAGCAAAAGAUACAAUGCUAGAGUGAAAGAUCACUAAAGAGGGCUAGCUAAGUUUCUCUCCGGUUAAGACAAGAUGCUUCCUCAGCAACUUCCUUUUACAAUUUUUAGUUUUGUUUCUCUGUUUUGGGUUUUGGGGGUUUCUUAUCUUAUAGAGAAAUAAGAGUUGGUAUUUUAUUGUAUAGAUGCAAAAAUUAGUUCUACUAGAAUAUGCUUCAAAAUGAAAAUGUAAACACAAAUGUUUCAUCUUUUUCUCCACAAAAUGAAACAAAAGAAACACUUGUUAAAGAGAGCAACUCUACAUCUCUACAUGUCUAUAUCCUUUAAGAAAAAAAAUCCAUCUCUUCUCGACAUACUCAUACAAAUUCAUACCUAGCUAAAAGAAUAAUGCAUAGCUUAUGUUAUGUGGUCUAGCCACCAAUUUUACGUGGCACUUCCGUCAAAAAAGUUGUCAUACAUUCAUGUUUGAUUUUGAAUGGCUAUUUAGUGGUUAAUUCAAACAAAUGCAAUUAAUAUGUCAUCCUUUACUUUGAGUUUAGUUCCUCGUAGUGUUACUACUUACUAUCAUCGAGGAUAAAUUAACACAAACUUGUAUGUAAACAAUGUUCUUCCGGUUUGGUCAACCGAACCUUUGUUAUAAUAGUAUUAAUUUUUGAAAAAACAUUAAUUGCAAUAAAUCUGUCAAAACUGUGAGACUAAAAUUGUUUACCGAUAUUUUUUUCCCUCUUUGCUUUCCUUUCAACCACAAAACAGCACUAUCUCCUAAUCCUAUAAAACUAGAAACAGGGAACAAAGGAGAAAGAAACAACCUAUUUCACUGUUUGAUGGGUCAUCAAAAAGCUUCUUCCUUUAAGUCAUCAUCUGCAUCUUCAUCUUCAACCAUCUCAUCUCUGAAGAGAGUUUUGAAAUAAGGUAAAACCUUGGGAAGCACUUGCAAAUCCGCCAUGUUUAUACUCAUCAGAUCAAAGGCAAUGCAGGUAUUAUGCAUAUGCGACUCAUCAAUCACUGGAAUCUUCGGAUAUCUCUGGCUAAAAUGCGUUAGCACAAUCCGAUACACACCCGCUGAAGAUCCCAUAUCGAUUGCUUCUUUAGUCGUGCUGUGAUUCUUUGCCAAAGCUUCUUCUAUCAAUGCAUCUUCAAACGUUGCCUGUCAAAAAAUACAAUCAGUUUAUAAAUGUCGAAAUCUCAUACACAGAAUGAGUUUAUAAAAAUUUACCUCAUGUAUAAGAACUGUUGCAUCUCGUGAUGCUUCAACGAUCUCGGGACAAGGUCUUGUGUCGCCUGAAUAGACCAUUUUCCAUCCUGGGAUUUGUUCUCCAACACUAUUUACUCUUUCAGCUGCUUUUAUAACGAUGCCAAAGGCUUGAGGGCAAUGUACAACAGGAAAACUAAUCAAAUCAUCCAAACCAAUUUCGCUAAGAACCUUUUUCAGAUUCUUUAAACACAGCAAAACCGAAGAGUUAUCCAUCGGGAUAUCAGAUCUUUUGAAGACACUCUGCAUAGGACUUCCUGCACGAAACAAAGAACCCUCUGCAUCACCACCACUUUCCAAAGAAGCCCAAGAACUUGAUGUGGUGCUUCUACAAUCAAGAAAUUCCAUAUCUAAAUCCUCAAGGCUUUGAUAUGCAUCAAGAAAGCGUUUAAGUGGCCUCGGUCCAACCACAAUCACUGGCUCAUGAGUCACUCCUUUCAAAAGCUUGCUUCUAAGAGCUAGAAUUCUCGCAAGACCCGCAUGGUGAUCGGCGUGGAUAUGAGAGAUCCAUAUACAUCUCAAUUUUUUAACCGCCUCAUCUGCACUGUCUAAACCAUAUCUUCUUUUAAGCUGGCCCAAGGUUCCUUCCCCACAAUCUAGGAGAAUACUACCUCUAGAGAACAAAUCAAUAUAAAUUGCACUGACAUUUCGGUAUUUCGAAGGCUGAGACGAACCAGUGCCUAAAAGAACAAUCUCCAUGUCAUCUCGUCUGAUGUUUUCAAGACAGCUAGGAAGAACAGUGUUGCUCUCAGUCAGCCAUAGCUUUUCUAUGAUCGUCUUGUUGUGUUGUUUAUUCCAGAACUGCUUAAUUUCUUCGCUUUUAUCUUUGAUCUCUGGAAUUUCUGAAAGUAGCUCAUCCACUACUUCUGAGGAUGUGGAUGGAGCAGGGAUAAAAGAUCUGUCCAUCCCACGAAUAGCAAGGGGACGCAAAUUGAACUGCCCACAAUAUUCAGGGGAGGAGAUUUAGUUUCUAAAGAUUCUAAAGAAAUUUCAUUUUUUAGUUUGUUUAAUGAGACAAAAUGGGAGAAAAUCAAAACCGAAGUGUUGGAGAUGUCAAUACCUUGAGGAGAUUUUCAGCAGAAAUGCUUUCAGCGAGAUUUGAACUUGUGCACUGUAACAAUAUACAACUUUACUUAAUUGAAUAUGAUGAAUCAAACUUAAAUCAACUUAAUAUGAGAAAAGCAAUUAGCAACCUUGUUCGAAGGAGUGGGAUCUAUUAUCGAGUUAUCAGCAAGUUGAGAAGGCCAAAAUCCAGGUGCAGGAAAGAACUGCGGGCAUAAAUAGUUAAGCUUGGCAGCGAUUCUUGAACUUGCUUUCAGAACUGGGAAAGCCAUAUUCUUCCUGGAAAAUAUACAGCAAACGCAACAUAAGCACCGAGCAAAUUACUCAACAGUUUUUUUAUUAGAAAUUUUUUAAAGAAGAGGGGGCAACCUUUGAUGGCCAGCAAGAAUGUGUUGAGUUGAAUGAAACUUCUUCAUCCAGCUUUGGUAAGUAGGACUACUUGUCACAGAAGAUGGGCUUAAAUGAAUAAUACAAUUUACAAACUUUGCUCCCUCGGUUUGAUCAUCUGGACAUGAAUAAUAACUCUCCAAAGAGCUAACUGAGAACAAUUCUGCGGCAUGUGACUCUGUUGGACAGUCCACAAGGAGAACUAUGGGACCAGGAAGUGAAGGUCCCAUAACAUCACUUGGAUAAACCUAAGAUCAAAGCAUGAACAGUGUCUUAUCAUUAUUUAUACAACAUGUCCACUCCAAGAGAUUUUAAAAAGUCAUUGGAUCGCAGCAGAUAUACCGUAAUAUCUCUUUCAUCUGACUUCACUGAUUGUCCAGACUGAAGUUUACUAUAUUUUGGACCAGGCUUAACACCAAAAAUCUUCUUGGCCUUCUCUAAGUCAAACUUUCCCAAUAUUUCAGGUAAUUCACAUACAUAUACAACUGAGAGCUCGCCAGAUUUGCUGCCAGAGUCUUCCUCAGAUUGACACGGUUUUAAGAUAAUGGCGGAUAUUUUCACAACUUCGUCGUUCACAAGAACAAUAGGAUCAGGUGUACUCGAGGGACCAAAAGUCCGUGUAUGAACCAUAGCGGCCCGUGGAAUAAACGAUUUCAUUGCAUCAACUAAGUAAUUAAGAUCAGAAGGACCCCAUACAUUCACCUUUGUAACAAAACAAAAACAAAAACAAUACUUCAGCAAUUUCAUACUCAACAAGAAACAACAACAACAAAAAACACAACAUGUCAAGAUUACUCACAGAAAGCCCUUCUUCACCAAUACCAGCAAGAGUUAGUAGAAGACCUAUGACAUCAAAACAAGAAUAACUUAGCAUCACCAUAAACCUAAAGCUCAAGCAACAAAGACAGAACUUGAAGCUGGAACAAACCUGGAAGUCCUCCUGCUGUCUCUGAGCAGACACGAGACAAAAAUACAUGAUCUAUCUGUAAGGGUAACAGAAAAUCAUUACAAUUUCAAACUUACCUCAUCACACACAUACAAAGAGAAAACAGAGGAGAUUUAGUGAUACUUACCUUAGAUAGUUUAAUCUUAUGUUCUGUACAGAAACGUUGCAAGCCCUAAAAAUACAUUCAAUUCACAAGUAAGUGAUCAAGAAACAUACAUUCAAAUUGCUGAAUCAGUAAGAGUUUUUAUAUACCUCUCCAGCAUUAAAGAUGAAUCUUUGCUUGUCAAAAAAGAGUAAUACAGAAGACGAAGUAUCCUGAGUAUCCAUUCCCGUUCCAAGAAUCUAAAUUGAUGAAAUUUCACACAACAAAACAGGAUUUUUUUAAGUAUGGCUAGAGAUUAAAAAUCCAAAAUUGGAAAACGAACUAGUCUAUGAUACACAUAUGUAUAUAAUUAAUAACCUGUGCGUAAGCAAUAGUGUUUGUGGGAUUAAGCUUUUGGCUUUUGCGUUCAAGAUUCCUUUUUUUCUUAUCGGUUAUGUCAAUCCCUUCAGCUCUUCGUUUAUUAAACACGAAGGAAUUAGAAGGCUUGGAACCAUCAUGAUUAGCUUCGUGCUUCUCCAUUGAAGACGAUGAAGAAGAGAAGACGGUUGAGAGAGAGAAGGAUCGUGGAGACAAGGGUCUUAGAGAAAGAGGUAAAGGACAAGACUUUAUAGAAGAAGAAGAGAGAAGAAGAAGAAGGCGUAGGUUUUUGGGUAAAUAGGGCAUUGAGUUUAUCAUCUCUCUCUCUCUGGAGAAAAAACUCGAAAGUUUUCCUCUUUCGCCCAGAAGGGUUUUAGCAGCCAAGACACAAGAACAUGAGUUAAAGUCAUUAGUUUGUGUUCGGUCUGAUUAUCAAGAAGCUGGAGUAGCUCAGUUGGUUAGAGCGUGUGGCUGUUAACCACAAGGUCAGAGGUUCGACCCCUCUCUCUAGCGUUAAUUUUAUUUUCCAUUCAUUUUACACGUUUUUGUAACCUUUCCCAAUCAAUUGAUAUUCAUACAAAUUUGGAAAAAAAAAAAAAAAAACAUACAAACACAACCAAAAUAUUAGAAAACAAGAAACACAAAUCAUACAUCAUUCUUUUUUUUUUUUUUUGUCAACAAUCAUACAUCAUUCAUAACUUUAGAUUUUGUGUUUUAAGCAGAGGAAAUAAGAGGAACACGUUCGGACUCGGUUGGUUCAGGUUUGGUCUCAGUGAUAAAAGCGUUGGAGUAGAUAACUCCAGCAAGUCCACCACCAACAAGUGGACCGACCCAAUAAACCCAAUGUCCUGAGAAAUCUCCAGCGGCGAGAGCUGGUCCAAAGGAACGAGCAGGGUUCAUGGAACCACCAGAGAACGGACCGGCUGCAAGAAUGUUAGCACCAACGAUGAGACCGAUGGCUAGUGGAGCGAUUGUUCCAAGAGUGCCAUUGUUGGAGUCAACAGCUGUGGCGUAAACGGUGUAGACCAACGCGAAUGUGAUUAUGAUCUCCAUCACUACUCCUUGUGUUGAUCCUACUCCAGCCGCAACGCUGUGGAUUGGAAUAGCCUGCGUUUUAAGAAUUCUUGCGUUUUGUUAACAAUAUCCAAAAAGAGUAUAAAUUCCAUAAUGGCGUUAUGAACGGUACGAAAAAUAAAAUACAACACUUCAACUAAUAUAUAUAGUGAGUAUAUUAAAGCGUACCAAACCACCGGUGACAAAUUUGAGAAGGAAGCAAGCAAUGGUGGAGCCGAGAAGCUGAGCAAUCCAAUAGAAAACUCCGGUGAUGAUUGUGACUUUUCCGCCAACAACAAGGCCGAAAGUAACGGCUGGGUUAACAUGGCCACCAGAGUGGUUAGCUGCGAUGGAAACCGCAACAAAGAGAGCAAAACCGUGGCAAAUCGCAAUCGCCACUAGUCCGGAUGCAUCGAGAGCUGCGUUCUCCGUUAGCUUCCCUAUGUUUACACAAAUAGUUGUGCCAUUCGGUAAGUAUUAAUCCAUAAUAACAAGUUAGGUGACUAGUUAAAUUACAUUUUCUACGAAAAAAUUGAUAUUAGUUUGAUAUAAUUGCAUGGUGUAACAGUUGAAAACUACGUUACAAGUACAAACUAGAUAUAGGUAAGAGAUAAGCUUCGAUCUUAUUUGGCUGGUAACGCGCGAUCUUCUUUCUAUGAUCGAAAAAUCACGGAAUUUGAAAUGUAUUAGGUUGCAUAUAGUGCAAAUUGCGAGAUAAGAGAACGAACCAAAGGCAAUAGCGGAGCCAACACCAGCGAAAACAAAGAGCAAAGUGGAGAUGAACUCAGCUAGAUAAGCUUUUAAAGUUCCCAACUUAAAGGAGUCUUCAAAGGAACCAAAGUCAAGACCAGCCAUUGUUGAAAAAUGUGAAGAAACGUAUAGAAGAAGAAGAAGAAGAUUUGUUGUCAAUGCAAAGCACUUGCAUGUACGACUCUAUAUAUAUAGGAUCGGAGCAUAUUCAUAAUACAUAUAAAUCCAGGCAUAACUACCAAUAUGAGUUUUGUAGUGCGCUGGACAUGAGUUCCAAUGAUUGGUUUUAUAUCCUAUUAUAUAAUGUUUUACGUCAUGGACGGUCUACGAAAACGUUGAUGAUAUGUAUAUAUAACGACAUGAGUGAUUGUUAGUAGCUACCCAUUUUUAUCAGUUUAUAAAUAUAGGUGAUGGUUAUAUAAUAAUUAGUAACAUGGAAUCAAGAAUUCGAGUUUCUCGAUCAAGGUCACCGCAAAUCGACAUGAUUAAAUUACCUAAACAAACAAAAACAAAACAUCAUAUAUGAUUGAUCAAUGAUCAUAUAUUUCGGGAAAUUUUAAUAUUUGAGGUUUGGUGGACCUAAAUAUAAACAGAGAGAGAGAUAGUGUGAGGCUGUGAGCUGUGACCAACGUGGAACAGACCUGGAUCAUAUUGCUAGCGACCAAUGAUCUUCCAUGUGAUAUGGUGUGAUUUUGAAGACACUUUCACUGACUUUUCAUUCUAAAUUUAUCCCUAAUUCUAUGUGGUAAUAGCAUGCAUUAAACUAUAUGUUUAUGUUCAUUAUUGCACAAAAAAGAAAUUUUGCGAAAACAAUAUCUACAACAAACCUAUAUAUGUUAAUGAAAUGGACAAUGUAAUGGCUAAAUUUUUUAUUAUAUGAACUUAGUUUAUUUAGUAGAACUUAAUCAAACUUAAAAGUCAAACCUAAACUUAGUUUACAAAAUGGGUUGCGAUUAGGUGGCCGCUAAGUUGGAGUUAAACAAGUCUUGAAAUUUUUAUAAUAAGUUUGAUUCCGUUGUCUUGCCUUCAUGAACAAGAAUAUUUCCCAAUUAGGAGUUGUUGACUAAUUUAUUAUUUAUUACUCGUCUUUGAUUUACUGCUUAUCCCUAGAGUAAGUUACAAGUUUUACAUAUUAAUUAAAUAUAUAUUUACUGAACAACAUUUUCGUUUCGAUAAGCAAUGUACCAUCUUUACACACAGCCACAGAUUCUUUUCGCUAAGCAAUAAGCCAUAACAUUUUAAAUUAUCUACUGAAUAGAACAUUGUGUCGUAUCAAUGAAAUAAGAAGGAAAAAGAAAACAAAUAUCUAAAUCAGUAAACUACCUUAUUAUCUCUUUAGGUGUUUGAGCAAAAUUAAAAUGAUAGUUAUAUCCAAAAAUAACUAAAUAUCAAAUAAUUAUGAUACUACAAAUAAUACCAAGUACGUAUAAUCGUUAAAAAACUACACAUGCAAUAAUAUCAAGUACGUAUAAUUGUCAACGUUUGAAACUGUACUUAUUUUGUUUGUUUUCAGUCGUACUUAAUAGAGUCCGCCUUUAGCCGUAUUUAAUAGAGUGGUGCCUUCAGUCUAGCUUAGACUCCUCCGUCCGAAGUCUUAUACCUGCUUUCACCCAACGCUUUAUUCGAUCACUCUAAGUUAAGGGAUGCUUUAAUCCAUUUUACAAUGGUUAAAACUAAUUUUUUGUGAUAUUUCUAUUAAAAUUAAUUUGACGUACCGUUUUUCUAAAUCACUUAUAAUGUAUCUUACAUGUUGUUUUCAUUGACGGACCAUUUUUCUAAGUGUGAUUGUAAAUAAAAAUAUUAGUAUGAAAAAAAAAAUAUCGCAAAAUUAGAUUGGAUAUUGUUUUGGGUUUAGUUUUUCUUUUAGUUUGAAGCUUUUUAUUAAUCAAGUUAUCAAAAACAAUUUCAUAUUUUUUGAAUUUAUUUAAUGUUUUCCAAAUUUUUUACUCGUCUUUGAUUUAGUGCUUACCCUCAAAGUGACAAGAUUAACGUAUUAAACAUUGUACUGAAUAACAUAUAUUUUUCAAUAAGCAAUGUACAAUACUACAAUCUUAUGAUCAAAAUAUAGAGCUUUUACCUGAAUAAUUUAUCGGCUAUAGAGAAGUGCAUACGCAUAAGAUAAGAGUUAUUCUAAAACCCAAAAAAGGAAAAUGGGUAUGAGAGUGAGGCUCAUAUACUAAUAUGAAUGACCCAAACUCAAAAAGCAGCAUUAUGUAAUUAUAAAAACUUUAAGAAGCAAACGAAUAAUAAAAUCUAAACAAAAACUAUGAAAAAGUUAUAUCUCAUGUUAAAUUGGAAAACAUUGAAAACUAGCUUACCAGUGUGUUACGUGUUAUGUAUGAGAAAAAUGUCAACAGUCGUUGCCGAUACUGCUCAUGCGUGCGGACACAAAAAGCCCGAUUUGAUCUUAAACAACCUAAAAUUAGAUGGACUUAGGCCCAAUACAUCAUGUGUAGUUAUUUAUAAUUUGACUUAUACAGAGGCUGGCAUAUUCUAAUAAGGUUUCUAUCGAGCCUCUCGGUCUCUCUACAACGAUGCAUGUAUAGCAUCGGUCAAGACUUUAUUGAGCAUCGUUAAGCUCUUGGAUUUGGAGGUAAAUUUGUUAGGUGAUUGACCGAAAGAAACUAUGAAUCAAAAUGGACCAAGAUUGCGACUGGAUAUCUAAAAUUCAAUUAUAGAAUGUAUAAACAUAUAUGUACACAUCAAUAUCUUAUAAAAGCUUACAUUUAGGUAAUUCAUCAUGUGUAUAUGAGAGAAAGUUCAAUACAAUUUCUCAAUAAUGUUUUCUUACCUCUUAGCGUGAUGCAACAAUAUCUCUUUUAGUUUUGAAUACUUUUUUCACUAACUUUAGUAAUUUUCAACUAUAUAUCUGCAAUCUGCUCUAGCUAAUGUUCAGAGCUUGACCACAUGCAAGAGACCAGAGAAUUAAAGCACAAAAAUCUCUUCUUCUUCUUUCUUUGUUAUAUAUAAUUUUAUCUCGAAAAAAUAAUUAAGUAUCUGUGCUUUCUUCAUGUCGCAACAUGUUAAGCUAGUCUGGGUCCAUUACCAUUAUUCUAGUGUUUAUGGCAAUAUAACUGAAACCUCAAAUUUGAUUCUUCAACUCAUGACAUAUAACCAAAGUUGGUUCUAGGAAUAUAGUAGAUAACAUUUAAUGCUUUUCAAAUUAUUAUUAUUUAAUGUCGACCCAACUCUAUAUAUCUUCUAAAAGUUACUUAAGAUUGAACUUAUUUUCAAACGGUAAUUGUAAAAAAGAAAAUCAUAACUAAAAUUUGAUGUCCCUUUAUUAUGUAAUAGUCAAUAUUUUCGAAUGUUAUGUUAUGCAUUUGCUAAUGUCACUACAAGUAUACGAUACAGAUAAAGUUUACGUAUCAGUUUUAACUUUAGUUUAACGACAAAGGCAUAACAAUGUACGUGGGUGUGGGCUAUAAUGUAGAAGAAGAGUUUAGUAAAGCUUAUCCUUAAACCUAAUCUAUCUCUCUCUCUCUCUCUCNNNNNNNNNNNNNNNNNNNNNNNNNNNNNNNNNNNNNNNNNNNNNNNNNNNNNNNNNNNNNNNNNNNNNNNNNNNNNNNNNNNNNNNNNNNNNNNNNNNNUCUCUCUCUCUCUCUCUCUCUCUCUCUCUCUCUCUCUCUCUCUCUCUCUCUCUCUCUCUCUCUCUCUCUCUCUCUCUCUCUCUCUCUCUCUCUCUCUCUCUCUCUCUCUCUCUCUCUCUCUCUCUCUCUCUCUCUCUCUCUCUCUCUUGUUGUCAUCCAUCCACUACUGUGUUUGCCUCACUUUGUACCAUCUUUGAAGUUUUAUGAUCAGGGUCCCUUUAUUAUCAAUUAGGUUUGAGUUGUUUGACUAAUAUUCCAAUUUGAUCUUAUUAUUGAAAAUCCAUUUUACCAAACGCCCUUAUAGUGACAACACUCACGAUAUUUCGAAAGCCCAUCAAUAAAGAGAAUCUUCUUAUCUUUUUGGUCGUCCAAUUUGGUUUUAAUAUUAACCUAAUUAAUCAACCACACCACAAAGAAUGUCUAUACGUCUUUGGAAACGAUACUUAUGACAUUCAUUUAUUAUUUAUGUCGAAGCAACCCUACUACUUACUCUACACGUCGGCCUUGCAAAAUGGAUUUGAAAUGCAUUGUACAUAUGCAAAAAACAUCUGACUCUAAACUAUUUUUUAUUUUUCAUAUAAGUAUCUUAUAAAUAGAGAUUGUUUGAGAGAUUUUACAAGAUUAUAGAAAAACUCAUCAACAAAAUUACACAAAACUCUCUAUCAAUCCUUUCUGAUUUUACUAGAGUCAUCUAAAUUCUUUGCGAAUUAGAAUCCAAUAACACCCCUUAAACAGUAGUACUACUAAUUAGUUGAAAGAGAUAAUUACCUCAAAAUUCCCUACGAUCAUUUCUUAUAUUUAUUGACAUACAUAUUAUUCUCCUACCUUGUUACAUCAGUUAUAUUUAUUGACAUACGUAUACUCACUGUUAAUAAUUUUUUUUAAAAAAAUAUUUCAUUGUUACCAAAAUACAUUGUUACAUCAGUUAAUAAAAAAUAAAUAGGAAAAAAUAGGUUUGUAUGUCGACAGUAUAGAAAAUAGAAUAAAUUUAUAAGAUUUUUAGUAAUAGAGACGAGUAGAUAUGACUUAUGCGAGAACAGAGGACAAGAGAGUUGAAAGUCAAAAGACAUUGGUGCGUGCACUUGGACGAACUUCACCAAACAAUUGCACGUUAUUUUUAUUUUUAUUUUUUUCCAAUCUUCUUUUUUUAUUUAUUUUUUAUUACUUUUUAGUUUUUUCAUAUCAAAUGAAAUCGCAAAUUAACCUCCAUAUUUUAUAGUUUUGAUAUUGAAAUAUAUAUCUACUUAUAUAGUAUCGUUCAAUCAUAGUUCUGCAGGUUUAUAAAAGUUAAUUGAAAGAAAAAGGUCAUUAUGCAAUUAACGUAGUCAUUAUCAUAGUUUGAAUAUUACCUAAUAUGGUCACAAUGUUAGAAUGUAUCAACACCACACAAAGACGCAUGAGCACAAAAGAGGAAGUAGACAUGGAAGCUCAUUAUUGUGUGUAAAAAAGGAGAUAGUAGUGUCAAGUGAUUGAACAUCAAAAAGAAAAAAGAAGAAAUUAAAAGAGAAUAGUUUUAAAACAAAAAUAAUUAUAUAUUUGCAGAAGAGUGGGUGAAAAAAUUUGAGUCAGAAGAACUUAGAAGAAAUGAGACAGACAAAAGUCUAAAUGUUUUUUUUAUUUUCUGAGAGUAAAACAAUGGAGGAAAAUAUAUGAAUCUGAUGAAAAAUCUGACACAACUUUAGUUUAUUAUAUUUUUGUAUGUUGAAACAAGCAAAGCAAUGAAAUAAAUUUGAGGGUUAACGUGCAAUUCAAGCAAUAUCUAGCUCAGAGGUGAUAAGAGCAUGAGCAAUGGUAUAAUUUAGAGUAUGCAUCUUAGGGUAAAUAAAUUAUAUUAAUAAUGUAAUAGUGUAUUUUAAGAACCAAGGAAAAUUGAGUAGUUAUUGGUUGAUCCCGUAGGUUCUUACAUUUAUAAUAAUAUAAUAAUGAUAUAUUUAUAAAUUAAAUUGAAAAUUUAUAAAAUGAAAAUUUUUUAAAACUUAUAAAUUAGAUUAGAAGAAUAAAAAAAUCAUAACAAACUUUAUAAAUAUUUUUAAACAAAGCACAAACAACCUUUAUAAAACAAAUAAUAACUACAAAAGGACAAUAAAUAAAAAAAUUACAAACAUAAAAGAUAGAAACAUUAUAAUUUAAAACAGAAAAUUUUAAAAAUACAAACAUAUUAUGAAACACAAAACAUAUGAAAAGUUUAUAAACCUUUUCAAUCAUUUGGAAGAUGUCCAAAUUUAGUCCAAAUAUUCUCAAUCAAAUCCUCCUUCAAUUGAUGUGCAUGUUUAUCACGUAUUCUUCUACGACGAUCACCUAUACCGUCGAGAUUUGUUGCCAUAUUGUUCGAAAAUGUAAAAUCCUGGUCACCUUCUUGGAAUUCUUGUUCGUCAAAGAGAGUGUAUGAAUGUCGUUCAUCUUCAACAAUCAUAUUAUGAAGUAUGAGACAUACUCUCAUAAUAUAAGCAAUUUUACCUUUUUCCCAUAGAAGACAUGGAUUCUUAACCAUUGCGAAUCUUGCUUGAAGGACUCCAAAUGCACGCUCAACAUCUUUUCGUGCAGCUUCUUGACGUUUUGCAAACAAAGAAUGUUUCGGGCUUUGUGGUAGUCGGAUGGAUUGAAUAAAUGUCGCCCAGUCGGGGUAAAUACCAUCCGUAAGAUAGUAAGUCAUGUUAUAUUUCCUUCCGUUGACAUAGUAGUUCGUUUGGGGGGCUUGACCUUGUAUAAUGUCAUUAAAAACCGGUGAUUGAUCAAGAACAUUUAAAUCGUUGCAAGUACCUGGUGCUCCAAAAAACGCGUGCCAAAUCCAUAGAUCUUGUGAAGCUACCGCCUCCAAAACAAUAGUUGGUUUUCCGGUACCUCGAGAAUACAUACCUUUCCAUGCGGUUGGACAAUUUUUCCACCCCCAAUGCAUACAAUCGAUGCUCCCAACCAUUCCCGGAAAUCCCCGUUGUUCUCCAAUAUAAAGUAGCCUUUGAAGAUCCUCUUCUGUAGGCCGCCUUAGGUAUUCAUCGUCAAACAAGUCAACAAUUCCAACGACAAAAUGUUCCAAACAGUUUCGAGCUGUGGUUUCACCAAGACGUAUAUAUUCGUCAACCGUGUCUGCUCCACCCCCGUAGGCUAAAAGUCGAAUUGCUGCAGUACACUUUUGGAGGGGUGAAAUACCAUUUCGGAAGGUUGCAUCUUUUUUAGGCUGAAAAUACCCAACUUCUUCUGAGAGACGAUUGACAAUACGUAGGAACAACGGCUUGUUCAUUCGAAACCGUCUUCGAAACAUCCUUUCCGGGUAAGUAGGAUUGUCACUAAAAUAAUCGUUCCAUAAACGUUCGUGACCUUCUUCUCGAUUUCUUUCGAUAUAUGCACGUUUUUUCCUUUCUCGCGGUAUAUCUUCUACGGUCGCUUCUACUUGAUUAUCAAAUAGGUCUUGAUAAUAUUUGUCAAAUUCAUCAUCAUUAUUAGAGGUAUAAUGAUAAUGAAAAUUGUUUGAUGAGGAAGCCAUAAUAGAAAUAAGAAGUUUAUUAUAAGGAUAAAAAGAAAGAGAUUUAUCGAAAUUAGAAAUUUAUUUAGAAAAAGGAAAUUUAUAUAGAAUUUUGGAAGUUUUUAAAGAGAAUUAAAAAGAAAUAUUACAAGUUAUUAAACAAGAUAUAACUUGUUCAAUGGUUAUGUUUGACAAAGAUAAUAUUUGAAAGAAAUGAGAUUUUGGUGAGAGACAAUGAGAGUUUAUAUUUUUAGCCAAAUGAAGAGGCCGAGAGAGUAGAAAGAUUGUUAAGUUGUGAAAGAAUAAUGUAACAAUCGGACAUAUAUAGAAGGUGUUAAAGUUGACAUGUGAAUGAUAUUGAAGUUAAAGGUAUGCAAUAGUUAACAUGUGAACAACAAUACGACACAUCCAAAAACAUGUGAACAUCAAUACGACAAUAUUAUAAAGUUCUGAACAACUGAAAACCAACAAUAGUUUGAACUUGUGAAUAAAAAAACAACAAUACUAUUAGACUUGUGAUUACAAUAAUCAAAGUUACAUGUCGGUACUAAAAAUUUAAAGUCUCGAUCAUCACUGGCACCAUAUGACAACCAUUGAUACCAUUGAUAUAAUAACACACAUUACACCAACAACCAUGUUAAAGUUUAGUCUCCUACUCUGCAAGUCUAACAUGUCCUGGUGAAGAUUCAGAAGCUUCUCUUCAAGUAUACUCUCUGUUUCUUUAUGCUGUCUCGCUCUUUCUCUCAUUUCUUCCAUGACAGCUACAUCCCACCAUUUGUGUACAUGCAUCUCUCCAUCUUCUACAUUUUCACAAGUGAAGUACCUGAAAAAUCAAACAUGUGGAGGAUAAAAACAAACAGUUAAAGACUACUAUCAAAAGACAGAGUUGGAAGAGGUCUUAACAUAAGUAAAUGAAAACCAAAUGAAGCACUUGAAGCUUACUUUCUACCCGGGUCAUUCCUUGUGUAAGAUGUAUGAAGCAGAGGCUGGCCUCCACAGUAACACUUUGUAGGGAACCCAAUCUCAAUCUCCUCUUCAAUCCUGCGAGCUAAGUUAAAUGCACUAUUAGCUUCAUCCAUGACAAUGUAAGCGUCUGUCUCCCUAUCCACGGUGUCUUCUGUGUAGUGGUCACUCUCGGAAUCCUGUGAGUAGCUGUAGUCGUGCCCCAUUGAUCACCUGAAAAUGGACCAAAACCCACAUAGUUCCAGACGAUACAGACAAAAAGAUAUCACAUAAUAACAGACAACCAUCAGAAGUUUACUCAGACAACAUUACUCAGACAAGUUUACUCAUGGUUAUGAAACUGAGCAAGUUUAUUCCAACAAGUUUACUCAGGAUUAGUUUAUUCAGAUAUGCAACAAGUUUACUCAGACAAGUUUACUCAUCAAGUCAGAUAUGCAGCAAGUAUACUAAGAAACUAACACAGGUUUCAUCUAAGAUUAAUAAUCUGAGACAAUUAUCAAACAGAUGAGACAAAUAUGACACAGUGAAUAGCAAUCACAAAUAUUAUACAAGCUACAAGUUCAAAUAUGAGACAAGUCAAUAGCAGUCACAAGUCAAUAUGAGACAAGUCAAUAGCAAUCACAAGUCACAAGUGAUUCAUUAAUAUAUAUUACACAAUGAUACAACAGACAUAGAUAUCACACACAUUAUUAUACAAGGCCCGAACUACAUAGUAGACAUACUAAACAAUAAUACAACUUAUUAGACNNNNNNNNNNNNNNNNNNNNNNNNNNNNNNNNNNNNNNNNNNNNNNNNNNNNNNNNNNNNNNNNNNNNNNNNNNNNNNNNNNNNNNNNNNNNNNNNNNNNGAGAACUGAUACACACACAGAAAUGAAAGAUUAUAAGCUCCUUAGAAUAAUUCUGCCAUCAGCUUCUUCUUAAGUUUGACUUCAUCUUCAUCUAGUGGAAUCGUCUUGGCAAUGAGGGUGUCUAGGAUGCUCAUCUUCUGGAGUACUUUCUUUGCCUCAUUGUCUUGCUGUUUAUUCUCCCACAGGUCCGGAUAGUCUCCAGAAGGUGAUACCUUCUCUUUUCCUUUGAACCUUCUCCCUUUCAUAGCCUUAACCCCAGGAGGCCUGCUCUCAUGGACAGUUCCAACUGAUCCCCCUUCGGAUGGAUGAGCAACCUCAGCCUUUCUCUUCUUGCUUGAAGUGUUGCUUGUGGGAUUCAUUAACCCUAAACUACACCACUUUUGUUCAUUCUUCAGCUCAACCCAACAAUGCUCUAGUGUAAAUUUCUUGAGAUGAAGAGUCUUAUAAAUGUGAUGUGCAUUCUUAAGAAUGUCAACAUCAUUCAUCCCUGAAGCCUUUUCAGCCUCUGCAGAAGCAAAUGCUCCACAGAAGUGGCUUACUUCUUUACUUAUUCUUCCCCACCUUUGCUUGCAGUGGUCAGGAAGCCGUGGUUCUCCCCCAUUCAGCACAUGUUCACUCGCAGCAUAAUACUCUGAAAUCCGUUUCCAAAACGUCCCUGACCUUUGAUCGUUUCCAACUAUCACAUCUUUUGAUGUGCUUAACCACCCGCUUAUCAACACAACAUCAUCAAGGCUGUUCCAUUGCCUUCUCUCCCUAGUACAUGUUGGUGUGCCUUGACCUUGAGGUGGAGGUUGAGUCUGAGGCUGGCUAAAAGAAGAGAAAUGGUUGGCUGGAGAUGCAGCUCCAUGACUCUCUUGGUGGUUAAUACCAGGGAAUUGACUCCCUUGAGAAGAGGCAGUUUCAGGCUGUUGCUGGUUAUGACCCGGGUUUUGGCUGCCUUGUGGAGAGCCAAAGUUUAGAUUUGCAGAGAAGCUGUCAUAAGGAAAGUUUCUAAGGCUAAAGUAACUGGGAGAUUGACCAUAUGGAUUAUGAUUUGAAUCCAUAUGGUGAUAGAUGAGAGAUGGAAGAAGAGGCAGAACAGAAGGGAAAGAAGUUGGUACAAGAGAGAUGAAAGAAGAAGGGAAAGAAGAGAGUGAUGAAAGAAGAAGGGAAAGAAGAGAGAGAUGAAAGAAGAGAAAGGAUCAAAUCGCAAAAGGAAUAAGAAAUGAAAGCUGGAAAUUCAAAACAGAUCAUAAAGAGAAUUUUGGGUGGAUAUAGUAAAUACAAAGCUAACACUUACCUAUAUCUAUCAAAUCAGAGUCAACUCUCAAAGAAACAGAAUAGUAAUCUUUGUAAGUAAAGAUUGCUUUCUAGUUAUCAAAAGAAUAAAUAAAUGUUCUUACAUUUACAACUUAAUGUAAAUACUGAUCUUGUUGUAACAAGAUCAGAGAUUCAUACUUACCAUUUAAAUAUUUUUAAAGUACAAGACUAGCAUUGAAAGACUUUUAUGACACAAUUCUGAGAGAUUUACAACACUACCAGACACAUUAAUGAACAUAGAGUACAUAAGCUAGACAAUUCAUUUUCGGGUCAUUAAUACACUGUGAAAAGUAUUUCACCAACAUAGAUACUACACAGUAUUAAACAGGAACUACAUGUUUCUACACACUAACUAACAUCAUCCCAUUUACAUACUAUCACAUUCAGAAGCAAUAAAGAAACAACAAGUAGAAGAAGAUCAAUACACAAAGCAAGUUUACACUUCAAUAAACAGUUUUACUUGAUGCCAACAAUUAACAAUUCAUUUGACAGCCAUUAAAACAGGUUCAAUACAGACAAACCAAUACAUGACUAGUUAACAAACCCUAAUUAACAGAGACAACAACAAUAUUAGCCAAGCAAUAAGCAGGAAGCAGAUGAACAUACAUAAGCAAUUAACAAACACCAAGUACAAGAAGAUCACACACAAAGCGAGUAUACACUUCAAUAAACAGGUUUACUUUAUGCCAACAAUUCACAAUUCAUUUGACAGCCAUUAAAACAGAUUCAAUACAAUAACACAAUACAUGACUCGUUAACAACCCCUAAUUAACAGAGACAACAACAAUAUUAGCCAAGCAAUAAGCUGGAAGCAGAUGAACAUACAUAAGCAAUUAACAAACACCAUCUACGAGAAGAUCACACACAAAGCGAGUAUACACUUCAAUAAACAGGUUUACUUUAUGCCAACAAUUCACAAUUCAUUUGACAGCCAUUAAAACAGAUUCAAUACAAUAACACAAUACAUGACUCGUUAACAACCCCUAAUUAACAGAGACAACAACAAUAUUAGCCAAGCAAUAAGCUGGAAGCAGAUGAACAUACAUAAGCAAUUAACAAACACCAUCUACGAGAAGAUCACACACAAAGCGAGUAUACACUUCAAUAAACAGGUUUACUUUAUGCCAACAAUUCACAAUUCAUUUGACAGCCAUUAAAACAAAUUCAAUACAAUAACCUAAUCGCAUUCUGAUUCACAUCUAUUGCAUGCAAAGUUAAGAACAUGGAUUAUGUCACAUACCUCUAACUUUGUACUUAAGAUCCUGAUUAUGAUCGGAAUCCGUCUUUGCAACCUUCAGACUCACCUUCAAACCUCAGGAAAAAUCAAUAAACAAGAGUUAAUUUCACAUAAUAGUUAUAACCCAUCAACGAACUCGAGAUAACAAGAGUUAAUUCGAUCCCUAGAACUUCAAAACAUAAUAAGAUAGAAGAGACUUCAAUGUACCUCGCUUGAAUCGAUUUUGGGAAGGUGAGAGAUCUUCGAAGAUACCCUCGAUGAUGAAUCUUUAGUAGAUCUACAACAUGGUGAUGAGGAGGAGACACACCGGAAGGAGAUUGAAGGUCAGAAAGAACGGCGAACUCGGCAAGACCAGACGGAGAAGAAGAAGAUGAGAACGGCGGCGGAUUCGUCAAAAUCGCCGUGUAGGGUUCGAGAGAGACCGAGACCGGAAGGAGAUCGACACUCAGAAGACACGGCGAAAUCGUCAAGACCAGACGGAGAAGAAGAAUAUGAGAUUGACUCUCAAUCGACAAAAUCGCCCGCUAGGGUUCCACAGAGAACACGACUCGAAUUUGGGGUUUUUCGUUUUUUCCGACAAAUGAGAAAAGAAAAAACUUAUUUCUUUACCUAAAAAUGGAACCAAUCAUAUUCGCCCACGUGGCCUAAGACUCGGAUACAAUCGAGUCUUCCCGAGCAUACGGAUGGGUCUUCCAAUUUAACUGUUUCCCUUUUAAUCCAAUAAACAAAUGCCCGAAGGCCCGAACGGAUGGCCCGUUAAUGUUGCUCUAAUGUAUUCAAACUGUUCAUAAUAUCAUAUUCUACAGUCUUCUCCACGACCUAUCCACAAACAUUACAAUAUACAUAUCAUAUGCACAUACCCACACAUGUGGACUUGUGCUCCCCCAAUAAAAUACUGUGUACAAUCGAAUUUUCAAUUAUUAUGUAACAAUAUAUACUGUAUAUAUAUUUUCAUUUAUGUAAAAGAAAAAAAGUUAUUGUUCUAGUUCUUUUUUUCUUUGUUUUUUUUCGAGAAAAAAAUGUGUUAUGUUUGGUUUAUUUUUUUUUAAUGAACGUUAAAUUUAGUCAACCAAAAAACCAAAAAACCAAAAAACCAUCCUUAACCAAAGUGUUAAAUUUUUAAUAAAGUUUGUGUUGGAGAAAUUGAAAUUAGAGAACUUAGUUUCUUAGUUCAAACUAGAUCCGAAGACCAUCUUCAAGCUUGUGAGGAUAGUGACGUUUGAUCGAAGAAGUUUUCUUACGAACCAACUAUGAACACGAACAAGAUUCAAAACAAGUUUGCAGCUCAAAAUGACAUAACUCCGUUAGCAGGCCGUAGAACACCAAAGCCCAAUCCAAGCCCAAUACGUGAAGCCUCAAUUGAACACGCGCCAAAGUCUGUCGUUCAACAUCUCUCUGCAAAUAAACCAAAAAGCAGAGAUGUUGCAGGUCGUACAGAAGUAAAGACAAAGAACAGAUUUGAAGUGCUAAACUCAAGUGAUGGAGAUGCUGACACGUAAGAGACAAAGAGAACAAUCUAGAGACUAGGUUAAACAUCUUUGUAUCUCUAUAUAAGAGCAAUGUUCUCUGUAAUGUGGUUUUAAGGAUUGAGAAAUAAAAAAGAAACAAUCUUUCAAUUUCAGUUUACACUUUCAUGGUAUCAGAGCCAUGGACACUUUCAUGGUAUCAGAGCCAUGGACACUUCCAUGGAUCUCUAUUCGUCACCUUCUCUACACAUCUCCAACUGUGUCACCAUAAAACUCACAGAACAAAACUAUAUCAUCUGGAAGUCUCAGUUUGAGUCAUUCCUGCGUACUCAAGGUCUGCUCGGUUUCGUCAAUGGCGCCACUCCUGCUCCUCAGGCAACGAUUCCUAUCCGCAACAAAAAUGACGGGAACGUAGAAGACAUCUCCAACCCAGAUUUUGAAAGCUGGUCUAGAUCCGAUCAAGUUGUGAAGGCAUGGCUUCUUGGAUCCAUGAGUGAAAAUGUGCUGCGACUCGUCAUUGGCUCCACAACUGCCCUGGAGGUAUGGGAAACGUUAAUCUCUCACUUCAAUCGCACUUCCUCCUCUAGGUUAUUUGAACUUCAGAGACGUCUUCAAAAUGCUGAAAAGUUAGAUAAGAACAUGUCAGAAUAUCUUAGAGGAAUCAAAGAUAUUUGUGAUCAGUUAGCUUCUAUAGGGGAUCCGGUUAGUGAAAAGAUGAAAAUUUUUGCAGCUUUAAGAGGUUUAAGUCGUGAUUAUGAACCUAUUAUCACUGUGAUUGAAGACUCUAUGGAUCGCAGUCCUGCUCCAACUUAUGAUAAUGUGAUCUCCCGUUUGACUGGUUAUGAAGAUCGAUUGCAAAGUUACUCCACUACCUCUGAAGUUUCUCCUCAUUUGGCCUUUAACACCGUCAAAGCCUCAAACUUUCAGACAAGGGGAAGAGGAAACAUGGGUAGAGGAAGAGGAAACUACUCAACAAGGGGAAGAGGAUUUCACCAACAGUUCUCCUCCAACAGCUCAUCCAGCAAAAGUUCCAACUCCACCGAACGUCCAACAUGUCAGAUAUGUGGUAAAAGAGGUCAUCAUGCUCUUCAUUGUUGGUACAUGUUUGAUGACGGUUAUCAGGCCUCUGAGAACACAGCUGCAGCUUUCUCUGCUCUGCACAUAACAGAUGUGACUGAUGAUGGUAGUUGGUAUCCGGAUUCUGCAGCUACAGCACACAUCACAAGUAGUCCUCAACGACUUCAGCAAGCUCAACCAUAUUAUGGCAAUGAUACUGUUAUGGCCAGUGAUGGAAACUUUCUUCCCAUUACUCACAUUGGCUCAGCUAAGCUUCCUUCAACAUCAGGUAACCUUCCACUUUAUGAUGUUUUGGUUUGCCCUGAAAUUGCUAAGUCACUGCUCUCAGUUUCUAAAAUGACUAAAGACUAUCCAUGCUCUUUUACAUUUGACUCUGAUGAUGUUGUUAUUAAGGACAAGGCAACACGCCAAGUUCUGACAAAGGGAAAGGAAAGUGAUGGUCUUUACAGAUUGGAGAACCAACAGUACAGGGUGUUCUAUUCAAAUAGACAAGUCAAAACCAGUGAUGAAGUGUGGCAUCAAAGGCUAGGACAUCCUCAUGCUCAAGUUCUCCAACUGCUCUCUGCAAAUAAGGCAAUUCAAGUUAAUAAAAGUACCAGCCAGGUGUGUGAAUCAUGUCAGCUUGGGAAGAGUUUAAGAUUGCCAUUUAAUUCUUCAAACUUUGUAGCUUCUAGACCUCUAGAGAGAGUUCACUGUGAUCUCUGGGGUCCUUCUCCUGUUUCUUCUAUUCAAGGAUUCAGAUUUUAUGCAGUCUUUAUAGACAACUACUCCAUAUAUUGUUGGUUCUAUCCAUUAAAAAGAAAAUCUGAUUUCUGUUCAAUAUUCAUCAAGUUCCAGCUUCUUGUUGAAAAUCUCUAGCAACACAAAAUUGCAAUUUUUCAGUCUGAUGGUGGUGGUGAAUUUAUAAGUCAAAGAUUUCUCAACCAUCUUCAAGAGUCUGGUAUUCAACAUUACAUUUCAUGCCCUCAUACUCCUCAGCAGAAUGGUCUUGCAGAAAGAAAACAUAGGCAGUUAACAGAAAUGGCUCUCUCUCUGAUGUUUCAAAGUCAUACUCCUCAAAGCUUCUGGGUUAAAGCCUAUUUCACUGCCAAUUUUCUUUGUAAUCUCCUUCCAACAAGUGCUUUAACUACAAAAUCAAGCCCUUAUGAAGCUCUUCAUGGAGAUCCUCCAAAUUACUCAGCUCUAAGAGUUUUUGGUUGUGCUUGUUUUCCUACUCUCAGAGCAUAUGCUGCAAACAAGUUUGAUCCACGAUCUCUUAAGUGUAUCUUCUUGGGAUAUACUGAAAAAUACAAGGGCUACAGAUGUUACUACCCUCCUACAGGCCGAGUUUAUCUCAGUCGCCAUGUUAUAUUUGAUGAGAAAUCCUUCCCGUUUGCAAGUACUUAUCAGAACAGCGAGCAGUUUGCACCAACACCGUUGUAUACUGCUUGGCUCAAAGGUGUUGUCAGUCAUGUUCCACAUACAGAUCGUGAUUCUAAUUCGACAAUCCAAGCUCAAAGUACAACAUCUGCAGUUUCAGAACCAGAGAUUUCAGUCCCUGCAGUUUCUGAACCAGAAAAUUCAAAUGCUGCAGUUUCAACAUCUGCAGUUUCUGCAAUUUCUCAAGCUUCUGCUCCAACUCCUGAAAAUGUAACAAAUGCUGAAGUAACAAUGUCAGUUGGUGGUGACGAGUGUACUGGGUGUACGGCAAGCUCUGAUCUUGUUCCUAUAGGCAACAUCGCUCUUUCAUCAUCACCUAGCAUUGCUACUUCAGAUCAUCACGCAACAGGAGAAACUCAAGGUUCUACUCACCCGAUGACAACAAGAUCAAAAGAUGGAAUCUCUAAGCCUAAUCCAAGGUAUGCUCUUCUAGCUCACAAAGUUACUUACCAUAUGCCUACCACAGUUACUGAGGCAUUGAAAGACCCAAAAUGGACAGCAGCAAUGAACGAAGAGAUGGAAACAUGUAAAGAGACAAACACUUAUACUUUGGUUCCUUAUUCUCCUGAUAUGCAUGUCCUAGGGUCAAAAUGGAUCUUCAGAAUCAAGUUAAAUGCUGAUGGAUCUCUUGAUAAGUAUAGAGCUAGAUUAGUUGCUCAGGGUUUCAAACAAGAAGAGGGUAUUGAUUAUCUUGAAACAUACAGCCCUGUUGUCAGAACUGCAACUGUCAGAAGUGUUUUGCAUCUUGCCACCAUUUUUAACUGGGAAAUAAAACAAAUGGAUGUCAAGAAUGCUUUUCUACAUGGAGAUCUCACUGAAACAGUCUACAUGAAGCAACCAGCAGGAUUCAUCAAUAAAGAUUAUCCAGAUCAUGUAUGUUUACUGCACAAAUCCUUGUAUGGGCUCAAGCAAGCUCCAAGGGCAUGGUUUGAUAAAUUUAGCAAUUUUUUGCUUGAAUUUGGUUUUAUCUGCAGCAUUCCAGACCCUUCUCUAUUUGUGUGUGUAAAAGGCAAAGAUGUAAUCAUGCUACUAUUAUAUGUUGAUGACAUGGUCAUAACUGGGAAUUCUUCUUCUUUGCUAGCUUCAUUGCUCAGUGAGCUCAACAAACGAUUCAAAAUGAAAGAUCUGGGACAGCUACAUUAUUUUCUGGGAAUACAAGCUCAUUUUCAUCAAGACGGUUUGUUUUUAUCUCAACAAAAAUAUGCAGAAGAUCUGCUAGUUACUGCAGCAAUGUCAACAUGUGCUUCAGUUUCUACACCUCUGCCACAGCAGCUUGAUAAUACUCCUAACCAGUCUGUUCCUUUUGAAAAUCCAAAAUAUUUUCGAAGUUUGGCAGGAAAGCUUCAGUACCUGACUCUUACAAGACCAGACCUGCAAUUUUCUGUCAAUUAUGUGUGCCAAAAGAUGCAUGCUCCUACAGUUUCUGAUUUCCAGCUUCUAAAAAGGAUCCUAAGGUACAUUAAAGGCACCAUCACCAUGGGGAUUUCCUUCACAAAAUACACAAACUGCAAGAUCAGAGCCUUUAGUGACAGUGAUCAUGCCGGAUGUCAGGCUACUAGACGAUCUACAGGAGGAUUUUGUACCUUCUUAGGUGACAAUAUCAUCUCAUGGUCUUCAAGAAAACAGCCAACAGUUUCCAUAAGCUCAACGGAGGCAGAAUACAGAGUUAUGUCAGAUACAAGCUCUGAAAUUACUUGGCUGGUCAAUCUUCUUAAAAGCCUUGGUGUUCCACAAUAUGAGAAGCCAGAGCUUUUUUGUGAUAAUCUCUCUGCAGUCUAUCUCACAGCCAAUCCAAGCUUCCAUGCUCGUACCAAACACUUUGCUACUCACUACCACUAUGUUCGUGAACAAGUUGCCUUCGGUGAUUUGAUUGUUAAUCACAUCCCAGCUCAUCUCCAACUGGCUGAUAUCUUUACAAAGUCCUUACCAGAGGCUGCUUUUCAAGAUCUUCGGCUCAAACUCGGUGUUGAUGUUCCACCUACUCCAAGUUUGCGGGGGGGGGGGGGGGGAACACGAACAAGAUUCAAAACAAGUUUGCAACUCAAAACGACAUAACUCCGUUAGCAGGCCGUAGAACACCAAAGCCCAAUCCAAGCCCAAUACGUGAAGCAUCAAUUGAACACGCGCCAAAGUCUGUCGUUCAACAUCUCUCUGCAAAUAAACCAAAAAGCAGAGAUGUUGCAGGUCGUACAGAAGUAAAGACAAAGAACAGAUUUGAAGUGCUAAACUCAAGUGAUGGAAAUGCUGACACGUAAGAGACAAAGAGAACAAUCUAGAGACUAGGUUAAACAUCUUUGUAUCUCUAUAUAAGAGCAAUGUUCUCUGUAAUGUGGUUUUAAGUAUUGAGAAAUAAAAAAGAAACAAUCUUUCAAUUUCAGUUUACACUUUCACCAACAUGUCCAUGAACUUAAUUAGUUGGUUUAAUUUCGGCUUUCGUAUAAACAAAAGUUUCCCUAGUAAUAAUAGCACGAAUGAUUUCUCUAUAAAUCAUAGUUUAGGUUUAAGAUGUUGAUAUUUCUGUUAUAUAAACUUACAAUUGCAAUUUCCGAAAUUAUGCUGCAUGAGCUAUGAGUUUCUUGUGAUAUAUUGUUUUAUUUUGUUUUAUUUUUUCUUUUUUCAACUCUCUAUCUUCAUUUCACAUUAGAUGACAAUGUUUUCUAAUAUAUAUAAAAUUUAUUGCUUGUUGAGAUUGCUAGUUUCUUGAGAUUGUUCACAUGCAGUUCUCUUUUCUUUUUUUUGGGAAUGAAAAAUGUCUCAUUCAGAGCUAAAACGAAAGUUGUCAUAUAUAAAAAAACACGUCUUUUCCAUCGUUGGAGUGGUUAAAUGAUUCAAGAACUACUGUUUUAUUACUACUUUGGACCAUAACAAAAUAAUACAUAUCAUUCGAAAUUUCGAAUCAAUAAAAUAAAAGUCGAAUUUAGUAAGGUAUUAUUAUACUACUAGAGAGUGUAUAUAUCCAAAAGAAAAAAAAGAGCUUUCAGAGUAUCCGACACCCACGUGCAAGGGGAAUGAAUAAAGUCAUAAUAAAUAUUUUCUCUCUUUUUAAAGACUCACUCUCACAUUCAUUCGCAUCAUUGUCACCUUUCUUUUUUAUUUCUUCAAUUUUUUUUCACAUUUGAAUUGCAUUAUUGUAACUCUAUUGAAAUACUUCUCCCCCCCACAGGCCACAACAUUAUUAUACUAGGUUAUUUUAUAACGUAACAAAAACAUAAUAGAGUUAUUCGACAAAAUGUGUAAAGGAUGAUAAAUUGUUAUUGUAAAACUUGCAAAUUUAUUCAACAAUUAUUAAUCUAUGAGAGCCUAAUCUAUUAUUGAUUUUUUUCUGUCAGAGUGUUGAAUGCUAAAGAUUGACUUGUGAGUAAAUGACUGAUGGGUCGAAACCAGAACUAAAGCUUUUUUUUUUUUUUCUGGAAUAUGAUUGCACUAACUUUAAUAAGGCAUUUAUUUCUUUAAAGGAUAAAGAAUAAGAGAGGAAAUACUAGUAGAUAAUAAUUAAAUUAUAGAAAAGUCCUUAAUAAGAGAAGAAGAAGAAGUGAGAGACAGCGAAUGAAAAGAAAAGGUGGUAAGCUCAUGGGAUGUUUUUAGGCUUUGGCUCAAUAAUUUCGAUACUUUUGUUAUGAUUUUGUUCCAUAUUCCUUUUUUUCAUUUUAAUUCGAUGUGAAAGCUUAUCUAUUUAUCUACUCUUCGUUUAUUUAUUGUAUAAAGCGAUGAGAUGGAAGAGAGUUUGAAAAAAAGAUGAUGAUGUUUUCAUACAAUCUUAACAGUAAACACUUCUUUUGGCUAUCAAUGUUUGGAGCAGCGUUUAAUGCGAUAUCAUCCGACAUAACUCAUAAACACAUAAUAAUAGAUUAGAAAAUCUAAAGAUAAUGUAUAUGAUUUCAAAACUUUUAUUUUCAUAUUAAUUGGGUUGAAAAAGAUUUGACUCUGCGAUAUAAUUUAGAGUUAGAUAUCGAAUGGAUGUGUUUGUGUGUUUUAGUAUGUUUUAUAAACUUAAUACGAAUGUACAAUAAUUAUUUUAAUAUUCAAAAUUAGAGCAAUAGUUGGCAAGAACCUUUUUUUUUUUUUUUGAAAUAGAUGAAAUGUGAGAUUAAAAAAAAAAUACUUAAAUACCUAAAUAAUAAUAACAAAAAUUGCUGAACAUAACAGAUUUGUAAAUUACAAUAAACUUACUCAAAAUUAUGUAAAAGUUUAUCUGAAACUGAUUCUUAUUAAAUAAUUAUGAAUAGUAAUCCAAUAACAAAUACUUAAUAGAACAAAAGAAAACCAAUGGUUUGACUAGAAAUUGAUUAGGAACAAAAUAUUUAGUUGAUAUUGAUAUGAAAAUGUAUCGACUCAUAAAAUAUUAAUAUGAAAAUGUAUCGUCUCAUAAAAUUAAAAUAUUCAUAUGUGAGCUAAAAAUAUUAAAAAUUUUACUUAGAUUAAUAAUUGAUUUAGGAAUAAAUCUCACAAAUCUAAUUUUUAAGACUAAUUCACCUGUUCUAUUUUUCAGUAAUAUUUUACCAGGUCAGUAAAUUUAACAAUUAUAUCAUUUUUUGUCAACAAAAUAGGUACAAAAUGCGAAUUAAUCUACUGUAAAAAAAAUGCGAAUUAAUUAAUUGGUCAACAAAACAAUUUUUUUUACCAUGUAUUUAGUCAAUAAAAUGCAUUAUGAGGAUUAUAAUUUGUGCAAUGACAUCACAACAAUACCAAAAAUAAUACAGGAGUAAAUAGUAUUAUAUCUAAUCAAAUGAUAACAUUCCCUUUUAGCACAACUACAAGAACAGAAAGUUUUAUCCGAAUAGUAUUUAUUUCUAAUUAUUGGAAUCGACGUCAUUAAUGUUUUUUUAAAAAAAAAUCUCAUAAUACAAAUCUAAAAUGAAAAGAUUCAUAUUCUAAUUUAUUUUAAUUUCCAAUUACUGUAUUUUUCCUCUUGUCCCCUAUAGGCGUUAGUUACUAGUAUUAAUUGUCCACUCCUCGCGGAAGUGUAACACACACAUUCCUCGCUCUAUCUCUCUCUCUCUCUCAAAUCACUUGCAAAGACCAAGAUCUUCCACUUCCUCUUCUUCUUCUUCUUUCUUCUUCUUGACUUGUUCCAGUACUAGACUUGGUGUUUUUGAUCACAUUCAAGAAAUGGAGAACCCUCCGGAUCAAACAGAAGCUAAGCAAAUCCAACCCAAUGGAGGCAAAAGAACCAAGGGUGGAAUCAUCACUAUGCCUUUCAUCAUAGGUACUAGUAGCAAAUACAUUUUCACAAAAUCUUUAACUCUCUCUUUGCUUUUUUUGGGUCUGAUUCUUCAUAAUUAAGAUCGAUCUCUAAUUGUGUUUUGUGAUGGUGGUGAAGCAAACGAGGCGUUCGAGAAAGUGGCGAGUUAUGGACUAUUACCAAACAUGAUUCUGUACUUGAUCAGAGAUUACAGGUUUGGAGUGGCCAAAGGAACAAAUGUGCUCUACAUGUGGUCUGCUGCAUCAAACUUCACACCUCUCUUGGGUGCUUUCCUCUCUGAUUCCUAUCUAGGUCGCUUCCUCACCAUCUCCAUUGCUUCUCUCUCCAGUUUCUUGGUAAAUCCUUCAUCUCUUCUUCUUAUACCAAACCGGUUUAAACUUCCUUUGAUGGUAAAUUUUGGUUUGAAAUUUUCGGUUUAGCUUUCCACUACUUGUCAUUAAGACUGAUAAGAAGAAUCUGUAACUGAUGAUUUUGGAGAACUGACAACUCUUUUUAAAAGUGUUUUUUUACUAUAUACUUUUUACGUUAUAUCAUAUUUUAUUGUCUAUAUGAAAAAUAUAUUUUUAUAUUAUCUAAUAUAAGUUUAGAAUUUUAUAUUUUUACAACAUCUAGAUAAUGAAUUUAUUGAAGUAUAGUGGUACGAGGUUUUUUAUUUGUUAAUUUUUAUAACCAAACCAAAAAGGAAAAUAUUGAAUAUUUGAACAUAAAGUUAAUAUUGGACCAGAAUAAUUUAAUUUCCGACAUAUUCGUCGUUGAUGUACCAUUGCAUAGGUUGUUUCUUUAUUCAUAUCGCCAUAUUAUAUAGUAUUCAAUUAAAAUAUAUAUGAAUCUAGAAUACAUUAAACAGUAAUAAUAUUGUACAGUUUAAUUUAGUAAUUUCACGCGUUGCAUGUGACUUGUGAGUUGUGUGAGACAUUGCUGCAUUAUUUGUUUUCUUAUUAUGUUUUGUGUUAUUACACUAAAAAAGUCAUUUUCGAAUUUAUUUCCUAGCAUGGCAGUUCCAUGUGUUCUGAGUUUUCUGAUAUUUUUUCUUUCUAAAAAGAUAUUACUAAUUCAAAAUGUCCUUUGGCAAGUUGUGUGAGUGACCACAAAUCAAAACUAUAAUUUCUGAUGUGACAAUAUUCCUUUUUUAAGUAUACUGGAGAUAUAUUUAAAAAAAAAGUUCGAUUGCUUUGUUUCAUAAAUAAAGAAAUAUUAUUAGCGUCGUAAAAAUACUACUUUUAUUCUAUGUUUCAUUUUAACUUAGAUGGAAUGAGACCACAAAACAUAUUUCUCGAUUUAAGUCUAUUUAAACGGGAUUAGACACAAUUCAUAAAGGCCACAGCAUGAGACUUUGAAUUAUUUUGGUUAUGGGGCCAAGCUUGAUUGUUUGUAGGCUAUAUAGCAUAGAGCUGUUGUUUUGGUAGGCUUAAGCAAUUUUUGAACCGUGUACAUACUUUUUACAACUUGUCCGAUUCAAAUCGACACUAAUCUUAAUUUGAUUUUAUUCAUCCACUUGAUAAAAACCAUAUGUUUACAUUGCGUUACAUGAUUGAUUUGACCUGCUGGUACAAUUAUUCAUCGCAAUCAACUUUCUUAUUAUAAUUUUUGGUAGGGUUAAUGACAUAUGACUUAACAUUCGACCUACCAACGUGUGCUCAUGGCCACGGUUUUUGUUGCAUUGGAUUUUUCUUCUUGGAAGUUCUUAUCUCAUUAUAUAACACGACAUGAUGUUUGUUUGCUUAACGUCACGACAUAUAUGUAAUGUUUUGUUAGCGUUCCAUUAGCUCAAACUAAUCCGGUUCAGUUAAUUAAUGAUCAUAUUGUUGAAUCAUACCACAGGGAAUGGUGCUUUUAUGGUUAACUGCAAUGUUACCACAAGUGAAGCCAUCUCCUUGCGAUCCCACAGCAGCUGGAAGCCAUUGUGGAUCAGCAACCGCGUCUCAGCUGGCUCUUUUGUACUCCGCAUUUGCCCUUAUCUCGAUCGGGUCAGGUGGGAUUAGACCAUGUUCCUUAGCCUUUGGAGCUGACCAACUAGACAACAAAGAGAACCCAAAGAACGAAAGAGUUCUCGAGAGUUUCUUUGGUUGGUACUAUGCUUCAUCAGCUGUGGCUGUUCUCAUCGCGUUCACGGGGAUUGUAUACAUUCAGGAGCAUCUCGGGUGGAAAAUUGGGUUUGGAGUGCCUGCGCUCCUCAUGUUGGUCGCUUCUUUGCUAUUCGUUCUCGCGUCUCCUCUCUAUGUUACACGCGGUGUGACCAAGAGUCUCUUCACUGGUUUAGCUCAAGUGGUUGUUGCAGCUUACAAGAAGAGGAAGCUAAGUUUACCAGAUCAUCAUGACUCCGUUGAUUGUUACUAUCACAUGAAAGAUUCUGAAAUCAAAGCUCCAAGUCAAAAGUUAAGGUAUUAAUACUACUGUAUAUACUUAUAUUUCUUCAAGUCUCGUUUUUUAAUUACUUUACAACCAAGAAAGACCAUGCUCUCUUAAUUAGGUUUCAAGCAAAGCUUGUUAUACUAGAAACAUGAUCAAUGCACUUUUUACUUUCUCUUGAUUGGGGUUUGAACAAAUCUUGUUAUACAAGCAACAUAACACUCUCUCUUUUCUUGCAUACUAUAUUUUGAUUAGGUUUUUGAAAAAACCCUGUAAUAAUAGAAACAUGAUCUACUGUUUUUUCCCCUUCUAAAUUACGUUUUUGAACAAAGCUUUGUUAUAAAAGAAACAUAUUUGAGGUGAUUUUGAUUUUCUUUUGUAUAGGUUUCUGAACAAAGCUUGUUUGAUAAGUAACCGUGAGGAAGAGAUUGGGUCAGAUGGGUUUGCUUUGAAUCCAUGGAGGCUGUGCAUAACAGACAAAGUAGAGGAGCUUAAGGCAUUGAUCAAAGUUAUACCGAUAUGGUCCACAGGCAUAAUGAUGUCCAUAAACACUAGCCAAAGUACGUUUCAGGUGCUACAAGCGACUUCCAUGGACAGGCGUCUAAGCAGGCAUGGUUCAAGCUUUCAAGUUCCAGCUGGAUCAUUCGGUAUGUUCACAAUCAUAGCUCUCGCCACGUGGGUGGUUCUUUAUGACCGUGCAGUUCUCCCAUUAGCUUCAAAGAUCCGAGGCAGACCAUUUCGACUCAGCGUUAAACUAAGAAUGGGAUUAGGGUUAUUCAUGUCGUUCUUAGCUAUGGCGGUUUCUGCAAUGGUUGAGAGUUUCAGAAGGAACAAAGCUAUAAGCCAAGGGUAUGGAAACAAUCCCAAUGCUGUAGUAGACAUCUCAGCUAUGUGGCUAGUGCCACAAUAUGUGCUACAUGGACUAGCAGAGGCUCUUACCGCAAUAGGACAGACUGAGUUUUUCUACACCGAGUUUCCUAAAAGCAUGUCUAGCAUUGCGGCUUCUCUCUUCGGUCUAGGAAUGGCUGUGGCUAGUCUAUUGGCAAGCGUGGUCCUGAAUGCAGUCAAUGAACUAACCUCAAGAAAUGGUAAAGAGAGUUGGGUUUCAGACAACAUUAACAAAGGUCAUUACAACUAUUACUAUUGGGUACUCGCGAUAAUGAGCUUCGUCAAUGUGAUAUACUACGUGAUAUGUAGCUGGUCGUAUGGUCCUUUGGUAGACCAGGUGAGGAAUGGUAGAGUUAAUGGUGUGAGAGAGGAAGAGGAGUUGCUUGAUAUUGUUGGGAAAGGCUACGAGAAGGAAGAUUUAAGUGCUGUUACUAAAGCCAAUUAAAGUUUCAUAGGUCAUGCAUGGCUUGUUGUACUUUGUCUAUAAAGGAAGCAAGAAACUAUAGGAAAUUAUAUUUUAUUGCAUUGGUGUGUGGUGUUAUUAAGUGUUAAAUUAAGUUCUAUGUAGAUUUGUAAUUAGAUUGAAUAUUAUGUGUUUGUGUUUUAAUUAGGGAGUUUUUUUUUAUUGAUGAAAAGGUCAAUGGUUUUUGGCAGUGUAUACAAGCCAAGUGUUUGUUGUAUUUUUUUUUUUUUUUGUGUGUGUUAAAUUCAUGGAGUCCUUUGUAUAUACACAAUUAGUUGUUGGUUUGGCUUCUUAUAUUCAAAAGGAAAAUGAAUUUAUUGUUGAAGCCUGUAGAUCUUAAUUGUAGAGAACAAAAAAACAAAAAUUUAAGUGAUCAUCAUGGAAAUGUAGUAGUCUAACAAAAAUGGGCUAUUAAACGAAUUUAUAAUGAAAAUUAUUAAAAACGUAAGACUAAUUUUAUUACAUAGCCAUGCAUAUUUUGAUGUAUAAAGUAUAAACCAAACACUACGGUCUUAUAGAAGUUGAUUAAAAAAAUUAUAGCUUUCUUAUUUUUAUUUUUUGAAACUAAUUGUAAAUGAUGACGAUUAUUUUCUUAUCUGAUCAAAUUUAACGAACUUGAUUAUUAUUUUUUAAUCUCGUUUUUAAACUAUUUUCAUGUUCAAAAGUUAAACUAGUUUUGGUUCAAUAUGGGUCUAUUACUAUAUUUCAGAGUCAACAUCAAUUUUCAAAAGAUUUUGGACAAGAUACCAUAAGAAUGCUUCACCACAUAUCUAGAAUCAAUAAAGACGUAACAUAUAUUUAACAUUGAUGUAUAUGUAAGAGUACUAACACAUUAACAUUGAUGUAACAUUGAUGUAAUAGUCUAACAUUGAUGUAAUGUCCAAACACAUUAUAUAUCUUACAUACCACUUGCAGUUGUAUGCAUAGGACAUGGUUCAUAUAUUGGGUAUUGGGUAAAUAUUGGAUUUGGUUGGAGCCGCCAUUAAAGCUUGCUAACUUGAUCGACACCAUUGUGUUUGACAUCUAGGUUCAUUGGUGUCGCCAAUAGCCUCAUCCAUAAUCUACCUGUGGCUAUGAGUUCUUCAUCGUAAUCUCUUCGAAUCUCAAUUGUUGCUGAGUUUAGAUCUUCCCUCUUACCUACUAAUCUUGCUUCCAUCUUUACUUCUUCCUAGAUUUGUCAUCACGUUAAAUAUGUGUUUAUAUGACAUGUGAUUUUGACUAGCAACUAAAAGACAAAGACAAAACGAUACUCAUGUUUCUAUCAAAUUAGAUAUCAGUCCAUUAUAGUUUAAUAGACACAAACCAAAAAUUAAAUCAAAUUUGUUUUUUUCAAUUUGCAUAAGAAAAAAUUCAUUGAAACCGAAAUUAAUCUCUCUUUUUUUUUAAUCUUUUGAAUAAAAACAAAAAAUCCAAAACGCCAAGCCCGUCAUUAAAUAUAGUUUUGUACAUGUGUUUUCAUAUAGUAUAUCAUUAAAAUGUUAAUUAGUAUAAUAUGUAAAGUAAUGAAUCAAAAUAUUAGUAACGAUCAGAAAAGUCGAACUUGAAUCUUGGCGGUGGUCGAGUAAAAUGAAUAGUUGAGAUCAACUGAGGCAUGAGAUCCUCCAACUGAGUACACCGCGGUUGCUCCCAUCAACUCCAUUAGCGCACCUAUUGCUGCUGUGUGAAAAUUCCCAUCUUCAUUCUGAAUAUGAUACAAUACAACGUAACUCCAUUUAUUAGAACACCAAAAGUAUAUUUUUAUCAAAGAUUAAUGCAUGCAUGUAAUCAUUCACCCCAAAAAAAGAAGUGAAAAAAAUUACCAAAGCGUGAUGUGUAACGGUCAAUUUACACUGAACGAACCCUGUUGCAACAUGGAUGACUUGAAGACCUUCGAGGAUGAAACUGGGAAAGUAGGAAUGGCUUUUAUCCUUGGCUAGCUCUUCUAAGUACGUUCUCGUUUUGAUGAUGCAUGAAUCUUCCAUAUCUUUUAGUUUUUGGGAAUGAAGAGAAGCUUUUUGCUAUUUAAAUCAAACUAGGUGAUCAUUUUGUGCUGUCAUCAUAUAUAGUCCUGUGACUAUUUAUUGGCAACCCUACAUAGAAAAUAUGUGGACAUGAUACAAAGACACAAACUUUGGGAUACCGAAUCCAACUGUACGCCAAACUUCAAAAGCUUUUGUCUUUCAAUUUAUUUCGAUAGUUUUAGUAUAUAUAUAUAGAGGAUUACAUCUAGGAUUUUGGUUGGCAAAUUCUUUCAAAUCCAUUUUUAUUUGUAUUUUUUUCUCGGAAGAUGCCCUUUUGGCAACACAAAAACUUCAAGGUUUACCAUGCAAUAAAGCGACGAAUUGAAUAGAGAAAAACAAAGUCAAGAUAUGGAUUCUCAAAACACUUGAACUCUCUCGGAAAUAUCCUUUUAUGAUUGUUUAACAUGACGAUUUGACUAAUUAGUAUGUGCAAGUAGAACCAUUGUAAAUAUAUUGGGAGCCAAAUUUUUCUCUCUUUAAAUAAGAUAUUAAAAUAUAUAUACCAUUGUACAGUUGUAUAUAUAUUUGAAGAAGAAGCAAGAUUGACUUUGACUUUGGGUAACAUUGAAACGGUGUCUCAGUCAUAGUCGUUGAAACAGUUUUGAGGAACUGAUCAUUUAUAUUAUAUUAUGGAAGUGAAUAAGUGAUCAUUUGACCGUUGAAUUUUAAUUAUUGCAAUAGAGUUGACUAUGAUAGAUUGGUGUAGAGGUUACGUUAUAUACAAAUUUCUGACUUUAACUUUUAUCCAUUUAUAAUGUCUUCGACGAUCAAAACAGGCAGUUUACUUUAGCAAAUUUGAAACAAACUAGAAAGUUUUAUUUAGACCGAUGUAACAUAGUUACUCUCACAUUCAUUGUGGUAACACAAAACAAAUAAACUUUUUAUUGCUAUUCAGAAAACACAGAGGUGGAACAGGUGUUUAGAUGAUAGCUACAACACAACAAAUAGAAAAGAAAAAAAAGAAAACGUAAUCAAUCUCACACUUGCAUUGCAAACUUUUUUUAACAUAGCACACUUGCAUUUUACAAUGCUCCGCAAAUAAUGUGUAACAAAUAUUUGGAGGGUCAACUAAAAUCAAAAUGUCUACUUAGACAUAUAUUGAUUGGUAGGAGCAAAGGUUGGUGCUUCACUCCCAUAUUGUCCUUGAGCAAGUAUCCCAUUCCAACCUGUAAUUAUAUAAAAAUCACUUAUAGUUAAUUAACAAUUUUUAAUUGGACUAUACGUACAUAUUUGAUUUGAUCAAUAUGAGGAUUUGAGUUAGGUACCUAGGGAAGGAUCAAGAUUCCUAAUCUUGAGCUCUCUGUAUUCUUGACAAAGAGCGCAACAAGGGCAUAGCAAAUGGCUUGCACAAUCUGAAUAUGGAGCUUCCACAAGAUUAAACUUUCUUCUCAUUUUUUCCCUAUACUUUGAUCCCAUCACCCAUUGUGAGCAUAAAGCAGGCAUCAUCAACAAGUACAUGAAAGUUCCAAGAGGACAAGCUGCAUACACAAUUCAACUAUCAGUUAUGUAUUAUUAGUGAAGAAUCUGAUUUAGGUUUCAAGUUGUGUAAACCAAAACAUACUCAUGUCUCCUUCAUCCACCACUUCUGUUAUUUGUCCGAAUGUCACACAAGGUGCGAUUGUUGUCAUAAGGGCUGCACAAAGUUUCAAAGAUUAGGGAGUUCAUUAAUUUGGUAUCUUUUGCAAGAAAUAUAUAUACCUAGCUAAAACUUGUAUUAAGAGUUUAUAUGAAUUACAAUACCGUUGGCUUGGUCUUCAUGACAAUCAAACAAACCAGUGCUCCAUGGCCUCCCAAUAGAUAGGUUAACAUUAGCUUGUUGAUAAUUUGGCGGCGCGAAUUGACUCGCCGGAACUCCAGUUUGCUGGUUAGGUGUGCCUCUUUGCUGAACCGGUGUACCGUUGUUUGGAUUCUCCUCGUGCUCUGUGACACGACCCAUUGGUUUGAUAUGUAAAGUGUAGCAAGCUAAGUUAUGACUUGAAGGGUUGAUUUAUAUAGAAGGAUGUUGAUGAGGAGAAGCUGUCUACAAAAAAAUUAAUCAAAUAAUAAUAUUCGAUAGAAAAAUUGAGUUUUUCUUAUUGAUAUAAAACGACGAAAUUAACUUCUAUAUAUAUUCCCAAAAGAAAGAAGAAAUUUUGAAUGAUGUAGUUCACAUUUAAGCUUUGACUUUUAAACGGUCGACGUAUUUAAAGUCAACGUCUUUCAAGCUUAUCGUUUUGAUAUUUAUUUUCUAAAACAAGUUGCGAUCGAGCAAAACCCAAAUUAAUUAGAUUCAUUAGUCUUACACUCAAUUACAUACAGAAGAAUUUUUUUUUUUUGUACAAGUAGAGUUUUAGAUUGAUACAACAUUGUUUUUUUUUUUUCUAACUUUAUAGAAGAAAUAAUUAUUUUUGUCUACACCCAGAAUUUAUUCGGAAACUUAUAAUUUCAAUUUUGUUAAGUUCUCUAGAUAUGGAAAAAAGAACAUGAAAGAAAAUUUAAUAAAUUACUGAUAAAAAGGGAUUUGACUAGUAUGUGUACAUUCCAGCAAGUGACGUUAAUCAACAAGUAUGAGUACAUUCCAAAUAGUAUAUAGAAAACUGUCACUAGCUAUUUUAUGCAUCUUCACGAAAUAAAUAGACUAAAAACAACUUUUACUUUUAUAAUAUUACAAUGAUGCCAUCAUUAUCUCUUUUUUCUUUUAGUAGGUUAAAUUUGAUACUCAGAAUUUUAUAAAUGUAAUUAAGAUAUAAGAUAUUGUCUACACAUAUAUUAUUGUUGGGGUGAUUUCCUACAUAUAUAAUACAUCACCUACAAGACCGUUAUAAGAUAUCAUACAUUAACUACAUGACAAAAUGAGAUAUAAUAUUAAUGGAGGAGGCCAUGAUCAAGAUCAUCAAAAGCUAAGAUUACUGAAGCUAACUUAUAGAAAGCUUGAGAUUCUUCAGAGAAUUCUGGGAUUAAAAAUGGUCUUAUCAUUAGCAUUCUUGUACAUGACUCGUUUUGGUGGUAGCUUUCUGAAGAUGAAGAGGACUAGAGAAACCGGUAAUAUCUCUACCAACUGUAAGUAAGCAACAAGAUUAGGUUUCAAGCAGAAACAAUGGUACUUAUAUAUAUCAGACAAAGAUUUAUGAUAAGAUUCUAUAUAUAAUUAGUUUAAUAGAGAGCUUACCACGUAAUAUAUGAGAUUAAGAAUUGGAUGAUCAAUCUCAUCAAUAUUUGCUCCCUCGUAGAAAGCAGCAACACACAUCUAAACCAUAUUAAAUGACAAAGCCUUUGGUUAAUUAAGUUGUUCAUUUUAAUUAAAAUCUAACCAAGAAGGUCAGGAGUAAUAGAUAUCAAAAUAAACAUGUGUAGGUGUGUGUGUGUGUCUUUACCAUGAUACAUCGGAUGAGGAAACACGUAAAGCAUAUGAUUGUCACAGAACCAAACUACCAUACAUAUAUAAGACAGAAAGAGUGGAAAGAGUCAAAGAAGCGCCAUAAAUAUAUAUAGUAAAACUUGAUUGGGUUACACUGUGAUUAUGUACAAUUUUGAUGUUGCACCUCUUUCAGCUUGCCGGAAGAUAGAUAUACAAGGACAAACAAAAUCAAGCUCCAAUGCAGGAUCAUAUUAAAUGGCUGGUGCGCAAAUGUACUCGGCUUUAAUUAGCACCAAAGCAAGAUGACUAGGUUCUCAAUAGGGACUCGUGGCUACAAAAUCUCAAAAUGUAGUACAUAUUCAAGAGGCGACAGAUUAGUUAAUGUACCUUCCACCAUAAAGUAAAUAUCCAAGGGAAACGAACAAUGAAACACCUACAAUUAUAUUUACAAGAGAGUUGAUACAAGUAAAGUACCAAUAUUACAGUGUAACAACCAUUCUUGGAUGAAUUGAGAUUACCUGCUAAAAACAUCUUAGAUAUGAUUACCAUAAUUACUCCAACAGGCUUCCACCACACAACCAACCAAAGAGAUAUCUGAAAGUUAUACAGUACCCAUGCAUGCACUUUAGUAUUUUUGAUCACAAACACUUCUUCUAGAUUGAUCACAAUUCACAAACAAAAUUAUAUAUACCUGAACUACAUAUACAAUUGCAUUUAUUAUGAAGAAGCUUGAUUUUAGUCCAUGAGUGGGUAACGAAAGAAUCUAUCCAGUAGUCAAAGAGUGUGGACUAAAAUAUCAGAACCAAAGAAGGAAAAAGGAAUAAUAAGAUUCAGAAUUCUUACCUGACGGUAAAGUGUUGCCCAGAAGAGAAUCAGAGUACCAUAGCUAGGUUGUCAAGAAACCAAUACUUGGAAUAUCAAGCAAGAUAUGUUGCAUAAUCUACAACAUAAUCAUCAAAUUUUUGCUAAUUUAGAAAGGCUGACAUAAACAUUUGUAAUAAAAUUUAAAUCGGUUUCUGAAUUUUGUAUUUUUUGAAGUUUAUACCAAUUUUAAAUGAAAAAAAAGUUUAAAACAUUUAAGAAACUCAUCCCGACUUUUUCAGUUAUAAUAUUUUUAAGAAAAUAUAUAAAAGAGUUGCUAUAUGAGAUCAAAAUUAUAAAAAUAAUAUUAUAACUAAACCAGAACUUUGAAAAAUUACCAAUCAAACUUCGUAUAAAAAACCCGCAAUAAUAAAAAUACAAAUAUAAAAAAAUAAAAAAUUCCCAAAUCCAAAAUCUAAAAAGUAUUUACAAAACUACAAGAAGCAUCCAUGGCUUAUAAAGUUUUUUAAAUCAAACUAUGAAAUAUUUAUAGGAAAAUUAUUUUGUAAAAUCUUGACUGGAUAUUAAAAAAAAACUUCAAUAUUCAAAAGCUAAAAUCAAAAAUAUAUUUAAAAACUACAAGCUAGCAUUCUUUUUUUUUUUUCUUUUUUUUUUUGUAAACCUACAAGCAAGCAUUCUAAACAGUCUUAAUUAAACUAGAAUGAUGAUGAAGACCCUUCUUCACCUGUGAAUGCAUGUUCCACACACUCCGCCUGAAGACAAACACCACAGCCCUAACUGCGAGAUAUAUAUAGAACACGAUCGAUCGAUGAGCUAGCAAAAUCAAUAAAAUCAAUCAAAAACACACAGAAAUUAAAAACUACAAUUCGCAGCCAGCAAUUAGCACCAAACCUCCAUGCAACCCGAUAUGGAGAAAGAUAAAGACCUUAUGCAUCGUCCAUCCAUCAUGUGGAGAUCGCGAGCGUAUUCUCACAAGGUGAAUCUAACAAACCAAAACAUUGACUAGUUCACAUAUAUAUAAUACAUGUUUCAAAGAUAGUUCAAGAAUCAGGAACGAGAAAUAUAUAAAAGCACGUAGUAGUAGUAGUACCACAGAGUAGAUGGAAACGAGUCCGUAGAGAAUUAGCGAGGACAUAGAAGAUCCUAUCCUGCCAAAUCGGCUAAUCAUUUACAUCCGACCACCAAUUCGACGAAUACGACAUCAUCUCCGAAGCGUCUUGCAUCAUCUCUAUGGAGCAAAAACGAUUUUAAUUUAGCUCUCGAUGAUCUUCUUUGAAAUAUUUUUUUUGUUAACAAAAACAGAUAUUAAAAGGAUUACAGUAGUAAAUUACUAAUUUUCUAAAUGGAAAAAAAUCACAACAAUUUUUUUUUUAAAUAUAUUAUUUAGAGUUUGGUUUCAAAGUUCGGAACUCACAUGAUCGUGACACAAUGUUAAGUCUCUCCAUCAGAUUUGACAAAUGUAAAAAUAACAUAUAUAUAAAAUUAAACUUAUAAAAUAAACAGCAAAUGGUAAAACGAAAAGGAUUACAUAUUACUUUAAAUAUAUAUAUAUAUAUAUAUAUAUAUAUAUAUAUAUAUAUAUAUAUAUAUAUAUAUAUAUAUAUAUCCAUAACAAGGAAAUUAUAUAGUAAAAGGAUUAUAAUUUUUUAAAAAAUUAUACAAAAAUAUAGUGAAUUACUAACCCUAAGAAGAAAAUAAUCACAACCAUAAUUUUUUUCAUGAAAAUAUAUUAAAAAUAAAAUUAAAUUAGAGAAAAAGAAGGAACAUAAUUAGAGUUCAUAAUCUUAUUAUAUAAACUAAAUCUUUUGAAGUUAGUAAUUAACAUGAUUGCGACAUGUGUCAAUGAACAGGUGAGAUUUCGAUAUGUGUAGGAAAAAAAAAUUCUCCUAAUUAAAUUUUGUCAUAUGCUAACAUAAAAAAAAAUGAGAAUUACAAAUACAUUUGCAUGUGGUAUAUAUAUAAUCAUGAUCACUCGAGUUAUUAACUUUGAAAAUUAAGCUUUAUUAUAUUAUUGAUAGUCUAAUCCAGUAAAGUUAUUGACAAAAAAAAAGGGGGAAUUUCAAAAAUACCCCUUUUCAUAUACCUUUUUUUACAAAUACCCAUUUUCAAACUUUAUCAAAAAACCCCCUAAAACGUUAAAAUUUAUCCAAAUAUGUGUGUAAACUUAUAAAUAUAUACACAAAUUACUUUUAUAUGUGUAUAAAACUUUAUAUACCUUUCAUAAAUAGCGUAAAAAUAAAUUAUAAAAACCUUAUAAAACCGUAUAAACCCUUUUAAAAACCUUUUAAAAACCUUAUAAAACUUAUAAAAACGAUUUAAAACGAUUUAAAACAUUUUAAAAUAUUUGUAUCAAAUCUCCCAGUAGUAGUUAUUAUAUAGAAAUACACCUUAUAAACUAUAUAAAACUUUAUAAUUUUUUAUAUUUAAAAAGGGGUAUUUUUGAAAAUGGAUAGAAAAAUAGGUAUUUUUAAAAAAGGGUACACCAAAAAGGGUAUUUCUCAAAAAUUCUAAAAAAAAAAAAAACUUUAUUAUUUUACCAGAACUGUAUUCAACUAAAAGUUUUCCACCAUUCAUGCUAAAACGUCAUUUUAGUGUCCGAUCUUGAUCUCUUAUGUACGAAAUGAUUGAUUUGCUCACAACCAAAGUCCAAAACCCACAAAACAGUAUUUACAGGUUUCAAAUACAUGAAAUAUAUUGUAAUUAUUGGACUAGAAGCAACAACCCUUGUCAUGGUUACAAACAAUUGCAAUCAAAGAUCACACAAACGUUUACUGGCCAAGUACAUUUGCUACUGAUUUCUUGACAAUUUUGGAAAGCUCCUCUCUAUUAAAAAAAAAAAAAAACAAUCAGAGAAAAAGAUUAAAGAACUUGCAUUCGAUUUCAUAACCACAUUUAAAGAAAACAAAAUCUACCUGUCUGGUUUGAACAAGAGAUAUCGAUAUGUGAACCACUGCAAAACAAAAACAAAAAAUAAUGAAUUGCUAGAAUGAUCAUAAUCCAUUUACACUUCUUGAUGAUAUCAACUUACCGUAGAGUACAAGAUACCAACUAGUUCGAAUCCGGACGAGAUAACAGGCAAUUUGUCGAUUGCCUAAUGGAAAACAAAAAGAACCAAGUCUUUGUGAUUAAAGAAUCUCACUACUUUAACAACAUGAAUAACAAAGUUUAAGUCUUUUCAGAACUAUACCGUGAUGAGGUUCACUGAUGCCCAGAGAGCUACAAUACCAGCAAAACCCAAACCAAAAAGACCUAACCUAUCUUCAGAGUUAUUCCACUGUAACAAAUUCACAUUUUUCCCAAAUCAAAACUAAAGGCAAAUAUGUAAAACUGAGAACAGAGUGACUUAGGGGUUUUAGGGACUUACAACAUUCUGAAUCGAACUACCGACGUCUAGAUCAGUAGAUGAUUCUGAGCUUUCUUUACUAGCUUUCACCAUAAGGGAGAUGCUGCUAUUAGGGUUUCGUUUCUCUACAAGGAAGCUCGACGUUAAGAAGCUCGAGCUUAGAGAAAAGGGUAGUUUCUGAAUCGAUGUGAGAUUGGAUUUUCUCUGUGUGAGUAACAAUGGCGAAGGCAACGUUGCAGAGAUCGAAGCCAUUUUUGUUUUACCUGACAAAAGAAAAAACAGAGCAAUAAAAAUCGAAACUUUAGAGAUUUUGACGAAGAAAGUUUUUGGUUAAUGGAUUAGAGAUAGCCUUAUCUUUUUAUAAUCCACGUGGCAUGUCCUAAGUGGCAUAGCAAAUCUCAGAGAUGAAAACCCAAUUCGCCACGUGUCAGAACAAGAUCCAUCAAAUGAGUGAAGUUUAGAUUCUCCAACUAUACAAAUUACAACAGAUCCACUCACUCACUUUGGUAACCAAAGAGAGAAACAUGGCAUCUUUUGCGACCAUCGCCGCCGUACAACCUUCUUCUGCCGUGAAAGGACUCGGAGGCAGCUCUCUCGCCGGAGCUAAGCUCUUCAUCAAGCCUUCUCGUCAAAGCUUCAAACCCAAAUCCACCAGGUAAAAAGUCUAAAGCUUUGAAAUAAUCUUGUUUUGAGAUUGAUGAGGAUUUCGUAUUCAAAAAGGAUGUUACUUUGUGGGUUUGUGUAUAGAGCUGGUGCUGUGGUAGCUAAGUAUGGAGACAAAAGUGUUUACUUUGAUUUAGAAGAUUUGGGUAACACAACAGGACAAUGGGAUGUCUAUGGAUCUGAUGCUCCUUCUCCUUACAACCCACUUCAGGUUUUUUAAAACUCUCAAUCCUUGAAAAAAUCUAUAUGCUUCCUUCAAAUUAUGAGACUUUUGAUUGUGAUUCUCUUCUUUGUUUACUUGCAGAGCAAGUUCUUUGAGACAUUUGCUGCUCCUUUCACAAAGAGAGGUUUGCUUCUCAAGUUUUUGAUCCUUGGAGGAGGCUCUUUGCUUACUUAUGUCAGUGCCAACUCAACCGGCGAUGUUCUUCCCAUUAAGAGAGGUCCUCAAGAGAAGCCUAAGCUCGGUCCUCGCGGCAAGCUUUAAAUUUAGCUUUCUAAACCCUUCAAAAAGUCAGAAACUUUCUUCCCAGUUCUGUGAACCCUUUCAAUGAUUUAUGUACAUUGUGUUGUUGUUAAUGCUUUGUAAGCUAGUGGAUUCUGAGAAUCAGUUAUAAUGAAUCAAUGAAAUUGCAUUUGAAGUCUGCUACAAUACAAUGGUGGAAUCAUUUCAGAUGGAAAAAUGCAACAAACAACCUACUUUUACAAGAUAAAAGAAACCGAUGUUUUUCAUGAGUAUCGCGCGGUUGGACUCCUCAUACCUCCAAGAGAAUCAAGAUAAGAACUCUUCUUGUUUGUCAUAAUACCUGUGACUUUAGACAACAACGGUUUCUCUCGAUCUCCAAAAAAGCUUUCUUUCUUCGGUUCAUUGUUUUUGUUAUUGCCCCAUUGCAUAACAUCAGAAAGUGUUCCUAAUGCCAAAUCCUCUGAGAAACUUAGUCUUUCAUCCUUAGGUCUCUCGUUCUCUUUCAGGCUAUAUCUGUUCUUAGAAGGUGCAUUUGUAGGUUCUUGAGUAAGCUGAUCAGCGUAAAGCACGUCUUCUAUUCUCGACAUCACGGUGUGAGCCAAACUCUCAAGCACUCUUGAAUAACUCUCCAAUAUCGCAAGUCCUACAUCCUGCAACAGCCAAAAUCCAAUAAUGAGCUUUUCUUAAGACCAAAAAGAAAACACAAUCAAAAUGUAUAUGUGGAAAUUGGAGCUUUUAUUUACUUUGUUGAAUUGAAUCUUGCUGAUAUCGAGCGAGGAUUGUGAGAUUCCGGGAAAACCUUGUUUCAAUAAGAGCAAGAUUGUUUCAGCUCUCUCUUCAAACUGUUCUCUUUUCUCAAUACUCACUGUUGAUCCCCAAGGAGACUUUGUGUCCUUCUGCACCAUUUUCCUCUUCCAUAUCACAAUCGAUGCUUCGAUUCUGUUCUUUAGAUCAAGAAUCUUGUGCUCAGAUGAUAAAUCCAUUUCAAUAAGGAACUGAUCUGCAUCAAACAUCUCUAAUGUUAUCAUUCUGUAUAUCACAUCUCCCAAGCUAGCUCUCCCAUUCUGUUCUCAGCCAUACACAAAAACAUCAUAUAUAAGGACCAGAUCAUGACAUAUUCUUGAUGAAUGUUUAUGUUUUUAUUAAAUAAACCUUAGGAAGUGACUCAAGGUAGCUUUCAGGAAUCUCCAUUUCAGACAGAACUUGGGCGUUUAUUGCCAUUGCAGCUUUAAGGACUUGAUUUACACAUUCCUUUUGGCUCUGUAGGAACCUUCUCGAUAUCUCGGAAAGGCCGUUGGGUGGGACUUUAACCGCCGGUAACCACCAUUUCUCAUCACUCCUUGAAUCAGAAUCAGGAGAAUCUUUCUUGACAUAAUAAAACUCAUCCUGAUCCUUGAAUUUAUCAAGACAGUCCUACAAAAGUAUGAAUAUACAUGUAAGACUAAUAUAUAUAUAGACAGCCCUUGAUAAGUAUAUUUGUGCUGUUGUUGUUGUUGUUGUUCUUACGAGGAGCAUUGCAUCAAGUUUCUUAAGUGCAGGGAUGUUACAGAGAAGAUCUGUUCUUUGUCUUGUCGUCAUAACUUCCAUAGAAGAUCCAUCUUUGUUGGUUUGUUGGCUUGGAGCGAAUUCAACUAUAUGAUCAGCCACAGAGAUAAGCCAUCCAAUUUCUCUUUUCCAACGCGCUUUUCUAUCCGCAGCCAUUGGCUCUAAACGCCUUUGUUCUCCAAACGCAGACGCUGCAACAACAACAACAACAAAAAAGUUACACACAAAAUAAAUUCCAAGAAACUGAAAGAUUUGGGAACAAUGUCUAACCUGCAAGAUUGGUAAUGGCGUUAGAUAAAGCCAAAGCCGACGAAACACCUUUUCCUCCUCCUGACAUAUCUUCUCCAAGAAGCAACUUCGAAAACCUCUCUUUCAUUUGCUCAAGGGCUGUAACAACAACAACAACAACGUCAAAACUUUGAAUUUUGCCCUAGCUUAUAGUUGAAGAAAACAUUGAAUAAACUUGCUACACAAGAAAUCAAGAUCAGAUUUGAACCUGCUUGUAAUUGUGCCUCCAUGGAUUCCGAUGAAGCGACCCUCGGAAUCUUGUCGUUGCGGUUAGGGGUUGUACCGCCUAAAGGCAAAGAAGAAGGUCGGUCAACGCUGCUAUACAUCCCAGGUUGACUCCUAAACAUCAUGUCAUUGUCAACAUCUCCCAAAUUAUCCGAACCAUCCAUCCUCAUUGCACAAUCGGAGCUCCAGCUUUUAACAUGUCUUGAAGCUGUGUUGUCGUUCAUGUUCUUGAAAUGAAACAAUCUUGAUUUGUAGCUCUCUUGUUCUUGAUCCAUAUUAUUAGAUACUAAACAAGAAUAAUAAUAAGAAAAGUAAAGAUUUAUGUGUUUUGAAUUCUUCUUUUUAAUACUUUUCGUCUUCUCUUCGUGUAAUAAAGAGGAGUUUUAGGAGAUUUUGGAGACGAAGACAAAAAAAAAAACAAACUUAAUUAACCAAAAAAACUGAUUCUGAAUUUUCAGACUUAGCAAAUACAGAACACAAUUAUUUGACUUCUGUUGUUAAUGGUUUUAGUUUAACCUCAUUGAUUAUUUUAGUAACAAAUUAUGAUUCGUUGUCCAUAACCAUAAACAAAGUGAAAUGUGGUCAGAUUCUUUAGGGAAAAAAAAGAGAAAAUAUUUUUAAUUUUUCUUGGAAUGUUUUACUAUUUAUAAAUAGAUACUUGGUGGAUUGUGGGAUGCACGUUAUUAGAAAAUUCAAUUCUCCACACACCCCAAAACAUAAUUAUAACAAGUCUUAAAAUUAUCGAGGAGGACAUGUUACAAUAUGUAAUCAUUGUUCUUUAUUUCUUGAUGUAUUAAAAUAAUUACUCUAUUUCUCUGUUAAUUAGGGAUUAUGGGAUAUUUCAUAUUUUCCUCAGUUUUGACAUCUCUCUGAAUUUACCAAAGGAGUUAAAAAGAAGAAAAAAAACAGAGUAUGCUAAUGAUGGAUUAGUCUAUAAAUUUCUCUAUUCUAUUGUGGGUGGACUUGUUAUUAUGUUCUUUAUUUACUUUGUUGCAUUACAAAUAUAGAAUAUAGACAAAUCUUUGGGCAUUACCACUUUUAUUGAUGACAAAAGCAAACACAUGUAAAAAGAAAAAUGAAAGAUCUCACCACAUGAAUGAAAUCAACAACAUCCACUCUUAAUUGAGUCUAUUUACAGACUUAUUAGAAUUCAAACAAAAGCUAAGAUCUUCAUAAGUCUUUUACAUCCCCAAUGAUUUAUUAGGGGGUUUGUGUAAUGAAUUAAUUAAGGAGUAGAAGCGCCUUUAAAGAUGAGGAACUUAAGUGUCUCCAAUUGAAAAUAGAUAAAAGUCCCUAUAGAAUGUGUGAAGAAACACCCAAAAUUUGAUCCCACCACACAUUGCCAUCCACUCCCAUAUAUCUCAUCAAACUCCUGCAUUCAUCAUCAUUCAAGAAACAACAUCAACCAACCAAUAUGACAAUGAUGUCUUUGUGACUUAGAAUUAUAUAUAGCUAGAGUUAAAGAAGAAAGGGUUUAUUAUAUAUAUACCAACCUUCUUGAUGUGGCCAGCAAUGGAUUUACAGUCAGAGACAUCAAAAAGAUCGAGAGCUUGAGAAGCAAAAGCCAUAGCUUGCAUCUGCAUCUUCACUGGCAUAUCUGAAUCUUCCACCAUUGCUUUGCCUUCCAACAUCUUCUCAAUCUCUCUCUAUCUCUCCCUCUCUCAGUAACUCAAAACGUGUUUUCAGAUUCUCUCUUCUGAGACAAGAUGACAAGGCAAAGCUUUGUAUCUUUAUAGACACCAAACGACACAAAAUGAAAAAAGAUUCCUUUAAAAUCUAAUCUUUACAAGUAAAACCCAUACGAAAGAUAAAUAAUAAUGUCUCCUCUUUGAGAAAAGAAAAAUAGUGGGGAAAUGUGCCUAACCUCUGUUCUUUGUCGUCUUCUCUUCACUGAGUUUAAAUUUGAACUACUUCCUCACGGGUUCUUGGAUUCUAAGUUCUUGAUUUCAAGAAUGAUAAAUCUUUUUCUUGAAACCAAUUUCAAGAAUGAUAAAUAUAUUAGAAUUAACAAUCCAAAAAUGAAUUGCAAGAACGAGCGAGCACAACUGUUUUUAAAAAAAAAAAAAUUAGUCAAAAAAGAAGUUGAUAAUUUCAAAGAUAAAAAGGCAAAAAAAAUUAAGUGAUAGUUUGAAGAUUUUUAAAAAGGAAGAAGAAACGAGUAUAAUAAAAUAUGUAAAAUGACUUGUUUGAGUAAUAUAUAUGUGAUUAUGUGUCUCUCUAUUACGUGUGUCCAAGUAUUUUUGUCUUUGACCUUCAAAAUGGAUAACGAUGGUGAGGUGCAUAAUUAAUAAUUAGUUUUUAACAGAUAACAUUUGAGAUAAUUUGUGAUUAGCUGCUAAAUGCUUCCACAAUUUUCGGAAAAUGUCGGUGCCGCUGUUUGAUUCUAUAAGCCCAUUAAGAUUUUUUUGCGGCCCAUUUGUCUUAUGUAGGUUUAUCAAUUUUCACAAAGCAUUAGAUUAUCUCAUCUUAAAAUUCUUUUAACCAAAAUAAAUCUCAUCUUAAAAUUCUCAAAAGCUUUUUAAUGCAAAUGAUGAGUUUGAUUUUCUUAUGACUAUUAGACUAUUGAUUUUUCUUGAAAGUGUAAUUACCAUGCUUAAGUCUAAAUUGAAGUUAUUUUAUAGGUUGAUACAUUUAGAAAACAUUUAAAUACAAUUAUACUUCUAGUUUAGUACUUACACUACCACCAUAAUGUUUUUUCCUGAUUUAUCAUUGUGUUUUUUUCCUGACUUUUUUAAAUAGAUUGAAAUGUUAUUUUUUCUUACUUUGUAUUUUUUUAUUUUUGUUUGGCUAUAAAAUGUUAUUUUCUAUUUAAAUGAAAUUAAAUAUGAACAUUGUAUAUUACUAUAUUCUGAUUAUUUAUUAUUAAUUCUAACUUUUCCAUUUACUAAAAUGUUCUAUCUUCUUUUGGUAUUUCUUAAAAUAUUUCUUUGCAACAAAGCAACAAAAAAAAGCAAUUUUUUUUUUUUGACUAACAAACACAUACAUACACUGAUACACAUGUGAGUCUAUCUUGGCUCCCGCCGUAAAACCUGGUGAGAUUUUAAGGUUUUUUUUCAUUUGACGACGAUCUCUUCUCUUCUCCGAUCAAUCACUGUUCACAGUCCGACGCAAUAAAGAAACCCUGAUAGCAAUGUCGUUAAUUUCAAAACCCACUUCGAAAGUCUCCACCUUUACCUUCAUUCUCCUCUUACUCCUCAGUUUCGCAAUCAUCGUCGCUUAUUCAUCUUCAGACUCCAAUGUCGAAGCAAACGAGCCCGGAUCUGAUGACGAUCUGGAACAGCUUCUAGCAGUAGACGAGCAAUUACAAGAAGAUCGACCUGAGCAACAAUCUGAAGCCGAAACAGUGAGCAAAGCUCAGAGAAUCGUGCUUGAGCUCAAUGGAGAUAACCCGAAACGAGUGAUCGAUGGGAACGAGUUCGUGAUGGUUCUAGGUUACGCGCCUUGGUGUGCGAGAAGCGCUGACCUUAUGCCGAAAUUCGCGGAGGCUGCGACGGCUCUGAAAGAGAUCGGUAGUUCGAUUUUGAUGGCUAAGAUCGAUGGCGAUAGGUAUUCGAAAAUCGCGUCGGAACUUGGGAUUAAUGGUUUCCCUACGCUUCUUCUCUUCGUUAAUGGCACUUCUCAGACUUACAAUGGUGGAUCGUCUGCGUAAGUUAUCUCCAAUUUUGCCUUCUUUGUUGUCAACUUACGGAUAAAUAUGAGGUUUUGGAGUGUUGGGAUUGAAAGGGUUUUGUGGAAAGUUCUGAUUUUGGGUUUUAAUUCGAUUUUGAUUGAAUCGUUUAUGAGUUCUGGUCAAUGUUUCAGGGAGGAUAUAGUCAUCUGGGUCCAAAAGAAGACUGGUGCACCAAUCAUUACAGUUAACACAGUUGAGGAAGCUCAGAGAUUUCUGAAAAAGUAUCAUACUUUUGUUCUUGGUCUGUUUGAGAAGCUUGAGGUAUUUGGAUACUGAAACUGCAGAUUUGAAACCUGGGAAUUGUAUAGACUUGUUUUGAAAUGUAAUUGUUGAUAGGUGUGUUGUGUGUUUGCUUAGGGUUCUGAACAUGAUGAAUUUGUUAAAGCUGCAAAAUCAGACGAUGAAAUCCAGUUUGUAGAAACAAGCAACAGCGAUGUUGCUAAACUUCUCUUUCCUGACCCUAAAACCAGCAAUGUCUUCAUUGGUAUGGUUAAAACUGAGGCUGAAAGGUAUACAGUAUAUGGUAAGCUUGCUACUGAUUUUGAAUACCUCUCUGUUAUUAUCAUAUCUUUUCCUUCCUAUCUAUAUCAUGAGAAGUGGUAACACCAGUCUGCAAUGCAGAUGGAUCUUACAAAAUGGAGAAGAUAUUGGAGUUUCUAGGAAGCAACAAGUUUCCUUUGAUUACAAAAUUGACUGAAACCAAUACUGUCUGGGUUUACUCCAGUCCUGUUAAGCUUCAGGUUACAAGUUUUUUUUUUGUGAUUUCAGUUUGUAUCUGCUAAGUUUUGGUUCCCUUUGUUUACUUUUGGUUAUGUUUUAAUCAUAACUCUGAACUUUUUCCUUCCUUUGUUAGGUUAUGCUCUUCUCCAAGGCUGAUGAUUUUCAGAAACUUGCUCAGCCUCUUGAAGAUAUUGCAAGAAAAUUUAAAUCGAAGGUAAUUCUUUGAUGCUGAAUUUUGAAAGACCUGACAGAUUUAGUCUUUAGACUCUAUCUUAACUGUUUAUUCUUUUUCUUGCAGCUGAUGUUUAUACAUGUCGAUAUAACAAAUGAGAACCUUGCAAUGCCAUUCUUGACUUUAUUCGGGAUAGAAGUUGCAAAUAAAACUGUCGUAAGUUUCGGAUACUUGUUUCAGUCUGCGUGAUUGACAAUUUGUGAUCUACUGAUAAUAAAGCUACAAACAAAUGUGAUUAAUCAGUUUUCUUCUACAGGUUGCUGCUUUUGAUAACAACCUGAACUCCAAGUAUUUGCUUGAAUCAGAUCCAUCACCAAACAGUAUAGAAGUCAGAAGUUGUUUUUGCCUUUUCGACUUACUCCUCAAAUAUUCAUAUAGUAACUGAUUCAUGUGAUCCUCUUUUCGAUUUACAAUUUAGGAGUUUUGUUCAGGACUUGCUCAUGGAACUGUUUCACGUUACUAUAGGUCAGAGCCAGUUCCAGAUAAUGUGAGUGUGAAAUAUAUAAUCCUCUCUUCACGCCGGGGUAUAUAUUCCUAGUCACAUUUAUUGAGUUAUAAAACCCGGUGAAAUCUGCAGGAAAAUGCAAGUAUUGUGACUGUGGUAGGAAAGACUUUUGAUGAGUUGGUGUUGAACAGCCGCGAGAAUGUUCUUCUUGAGGUUAGUAAUCCCGAAUAGCUUCUCUACCAAACCAAACUUUUAUACAUCGACAUUGAGAACAUAGAUCUUGCGGGGUAAAACAGGUGCAUACACCAUGGUGUGUGAAGUGUGAGGCACUAAGCAAACAAGUCGAGAAAUUGGCAAAGCAUUUCAAAGGCUUUGAGAAUCUUGUUUUUGCAAGAAUUGAUGCAUCUGCAAAUGAGCAUACUAAACUACAGGUGACUCAAAAUCUUUCCCUGCAACAAAACUAACAAUUCCAGAAGCACGAGCUAAUAUUAUUGAUUGUUGAUGACAGGUAGAUGAUGAAUAUCCAAUGAUCUUGCUCUACAAAUCUGGUGAAAAGGAGAAACCGGUAAGAGUCUUUUUGAAAGAGCUCACUUUAACUCAAUCCCUUUUCGACUCCAUCACUUUUGUUUUUGCUCAGUUACAAGCUUUCUACGAAGUGAAUCUUACCCGUUUUGAUCUGCAGUUAAAGCUAUCAACGAAAUUGGGCGCCAAGGACAUGGCUGUUUUUAUCAACGAAGAGUUGAAACCAAAGGAUGGGUCUGCUAAAGAUGAGUUGUAGACAAGUUUGAGGAAAUGUAGACAUAAGAGACAGAAAAAUAUCAUAGAUGAUAAUUUUUGUGACACAUUACAUGAUUUUGAAUUUGAUAUUGUAUGGAACCCAAAAUAAAAGGAGCCCAAUUCGUUACAAUCCGUAACUUAAUGAAUUUUGAAAUUACAUUUCCGGAAGUUAUAUUGUAUGGUACAAAAUCAAAUGUGCCAAAGAAAACGAAAUGUGGGUAUCCUCUGCAACAAACUUUUGCUUGAUUUAGCAUUCACACCCUGUUGAUCUUUGUUGCUGACCUCCGGCAAUAUCAAUGGUGUCGGGAAGGUACCUGAAAAGGUAUCAGAGGAGAAAGUUACAAGAUAAGACCUCGACGAAGUGGAAGUGAAGCAAAUUCAACAGAAAGUUAGUGUACUUACGGUUCUUCUUCAGGUUCAUUCUUGAAAGCAUUUUUGGUUAUGCAUUCGAAAGCCGCAUCCACAUUGAACCCUUCUUUGGCGGAAGUCUCAAAGUAAGGAAUGUUUCCUUUAGAAGCACACCAUGCCUUUGCCUUUUUCUCAGAAACCUGAAGAUAUGGGACAAACUUAGCAUACAGAUACUUGAGUAUUCAUGAAAUGUGGAUGAAUAAGAAAACCUCUCACCACUCUGCUCUUUCCACCGUCAACAUCAGUCUUGUUCCCCAACACGACAAAUGGGAAGUUUUCAGGAUCCGAAGGACUAGCCUAUACAGUGUCACAAUAAAGACGAUGAGACAUCAUAGAUUAUAGCAAACAGCUUAGAUAUGGUUAGAUGAAGGUUAUAAUCACCUGAAUCAAGAACUCUUCCCUCCAGUUAUUAAGAUUAUCAAAAGAUUUCAUAACAUUGACAUCAUACACAAGAACACAACAAUCUGCUCCUCUGUAAAACGCAACUCCCAAACUUUGAAAUCUCUCUUGCCCAGCAGUAUCCCAAAUCUGUAUAAUGUAUUGAAAAGAUUCAAACUUUGGAGUACAUUUUUCCUAACAAACUAGUACUCACAAAGCAAAAAAAAAUAAAACUUUUUCUUUAUUAUGAACCACAAAAAAAGUUAGGAACUUUAGAAAGAUCCAGUAAGAAUAUUCCAAGAAUCAUAUAAUGUUGUUUGAUUCAUUCAAACACUGAAGACAAAACAGAGAUUUUUUAUAACCUGUAAAGUGAAGAUUCUGUCAUCAAUCUGAACCUCUUUAGUCAAAAAAUCUGCUCCAAUCGUCGCUUUAUACUGAUUACUAAAUUUGCGAUUCACAAACCUAAACAUGAAAACCAAAAUCAAUAUGGUUUUUUUUUUAUCAAAAACAUAAUAAGCAAAAGAGACAUAGAUCUGGAUUUCAGAAAACAUACUGAUUCAUCAACGAAGUCUUCCCAACUCUGUCCCAAAAUAACAAAGGAUCAAUCAAAAUCUCAAUCAAUGAACAGAUAAAAAUCACAUCAAAUCCAUAUAGAAAUCGAAGAGAUGAGAAACAAUUGUUUACCCGCUGUCACCGAGAAUGAUAACCUUAAGAAGAACUCUACGACGAGAAGACAUUGACGAAAACUUUUAGGGAUUGAGCUAAUUUGAUUUUUCUUAUCACCGAAGAAACUGUCUCUGUUUUUUUGUUCUUCUCUUUUGGUUUUGGUUUCUUCUUUCGUGUGAUUCAGGUGAAGAGAAAGCGAAAUUGCAGAAGAAAAUUAAAAAAGAAAAGGUAAUAAUCGCUAAAUAACAGCAAGGUUACACUAUUUUAAAUCUCUUACUUUCCUAAACUACCCCUCCUUUAAUUAGUCAUUUAACUAAUCCUUUUUUUUGCUUCUUCUUCUUCACAGCAUUACUAAUCUUGUUAUAAGAAUUGUUUUGGAAAGUAGCUAUUAAUUUAUAUAAGAAAUCCUUAAACAGUUAAUGGGUCUAAUUAUGUUUUACUUUUUCCAUGUGUUGUUUUUUAGAAGUAGCAUUGACUAAUGUACUAAGUAAAUACAUUAAUUUUACAAAAUGAAUAUGAGACGGGAUUUUAUUUACAAAUUAACAAGGUCAUUAAAGUGUUUUUUUUUUCUUCAAAAUCACUAUGCUUUAAAUAAAUAAAAAAUGUGAUUAUAGAGACUAAACCCUCAAAUUAUAUAUCAAGGCCAAAAAUAAUAAAGGAUCAUAUAGUAGAAGCUUUGAUUGAAUCUAUUUAAUAUCUUGAACAAAUAAAUAUUCACGUGCAAAACGAGGAGUAUGACAGUUUUGAUUAGAGCCACACAUGAAAUAAAAAGCGAAAGAGCGUGUUAUGAAUGAUGUGUUUACACCUAAACCUACCCCUACAAAAAAGCUUGGACUUUUUAACUAUUACCAAAGAAUCCUCUGUUUUUAAGUUAUUGUCUCGUUGGUUCUCGUCUCUGGUUCGAUCUCUUGCGUUGUACGAUGGCCUUCAGUGAUACUAGAGGACCCUGAUGGGUUCUGACCGUUGUCGCUAGUCAAACCGCUGCAUUCGCUACUACCACCAAAUGUCUGACUUUCAUAUGCCAUUUUCUUGAAUUUUUUUAAGUCUUCUUUGUAUUGUGUUGAGCUGUAAUCUGAGCUCCCAUCUAAGCUGUAAAUAGUGCUGUGUCCUGGAGCAGAUCCUUCGGUUAGGUCAUCUAGAGAUAUGUUUCCUUCAAAUGCUCGAACUAUCUGCAAGUGUCCAAAGAGUAAUCACCACAAGUUUAGGUUUUUAUCCCAAGUGCUAGGUGAAAACUGUUUCCAAAAUAUUCCGUUUUGAUAGUACCUGGCUAAUUUUUGGGCGGCGUUUUGCUGAAUGACGGACACUAGCAGCAGCGCAAGCGACCAUUCUCGUCAUUUCGCUGACAUCAAAGCCAUGCUCCAGUCGCGGGUCAACAAGACCGUCAAAGCUACCAUCAUUUAGAGCUUGUAUCAUCAAAGGUUUUGCCUAUAACAUGAGGUUAAAUUCAGAAACUUAUUGAAAGUUUGGUGCUAACAAAGGUAAAACAAGAUUACCAACCCAAUCAACAAUGCUAUCAUCAUCUGCAAAAGGCUGUGAAUUAUCAACAGGUCGGCGUCCAGUUAUCAAUUCAAGAAGCACCACUCCAAAUGAGAAAACAUCUGAUUUAUCAGUGAGUUUUCCUGAAGAAGCAUAUUCAGGAGCCAAGUAACUGCAUUUCAAGAAAACCACUAGAGACAAGUCAAGAGACCGUUUUAUAAGUUGUUUCUAAUAUGAUGAUUGCGUAGGGAGAGAGCCUAUCAUACCCGAAUGUUCCCAUAAUCCGAGUGGAAACAUGAGUAUCAGUAUCUAAAGAAGACCUGGCGAGUCCAAAAUCAGCUAACUGAUGAAGAAUCAAGUUCAACAUUAUUAGUAGUUCACUUGAAAUAUUGUAAUCUUUACAAGUUUUUAGAGUACCUUUGCCUCGUAGCUAUCGUCAAUUAGAAUAUUUGCAGCCUUCACAUCCCGGUGUAUUGUUUUAGGAUUACCUGAAACAAAACAAAUCUCUUUGACAAAUUGACACCAAAAGACCAAAAAAAAAGAACAAAAACUUCAGAAACAAAUGUUAAACAUUACUUACAAUCUUCAUGUAAGUAUGACAAUCCUUUAGCUGCACCUAAAGCAAUCUUCAUCCUCUUUGGCCAUUCCAUUACAGGUCUCCCUUUCUCUACAAACAUCACCAUAGGUUUUAUUAAAACAAAAUCACGAGAACUCACGAAGACCAUAUAAUCACAGACCAAGUAACUCACCGUGCAAAUGGAACUCAAGAGUCUUAUUAGGAACAAACUCAUAAACAAGCAAUCUUUGAGAACCAGUUAUACAAUAACCAAGAAGAGAAACAAGGUGCCUGUGAUGAACUCUACUAAUAGUCUGUAUCUCGGCUUGAAACUCGCGUUCACCUUGUCCACUUCCAGCUUUAAGCUGCUUAAUAGCAACCUCAGUUCCAUCAACAAGAACUCCUUUAUGAACAUAACCAAACCCACCUUGUCCAAUAAGGUUAGUGCUAGAGAAAUUACUAGUUGCUUUAGACAAAUCUUCAUAUGUAAACAAGUUUUGUCCAAUAUCUGAUGAACUACUUUGAUGAUUCCAUUGUUGAAGAUUAUUGUCUACCAAAAAAAAAAAAAAACAGAGGAAUCGAAUAAUUAAUGAAAAGAUUGAAUCUUUGAGAAUAGAUAAAGAAACCCUAAAGUGAAAAAUACCUUUGGGAUCUAGUGAGUCUUCUCCAUUAAUGGCAGCUUCAGUAUCAUUCUUCUUCUUCAUCUUCAUCUUCUUCUUCUUUCUUUUAUAGAAACAAACAAAGACACAAACUCCGAUUGAAACAAGCGUAGCUCCAAGAACUACUCCAAUGAUUAGUAGAGUUAAUGCUACUCUUCUCAAACUUUCAUCGCGUGAUGUAUCCGUCGUGAACGGAGGAGGAGGCGGAGAAGGUCCGAUGAUGGAGGGCUGAGAAGGGGUAGUUGUAGUGUUUGGAUUAUUGAAAGGAAACACAGGGUCCGGUGGGAAUGGGACGGAAGGGAUAGUGUUGUUCGACGGAGACGAUGACAUUUAGAGAUCGGAAGAUGAUGAUGAGUUGGUUUCAGGGUUUUCACAUGGCGGAAGUGAGAGAGGAGGAAGAAGAAGAAGAAGAGGAAAGAAACAUGUGGGGUAGGUUCCACCACUAGUAGUGAGAUUCUUUCUUCUUCUUGUUGCAGUGUCUAAUUCUAUUUGUCACUCUGUUUCUUAAUAAACAACUAAAUAACAAAUUCUUUCUUACAUCUUUUGUUUGUUUUUCUUUCUUACAUCUUUGUUUGUUUGUUUUUUUUUCUUUUUCAUUUUCAAAAAUCAAACUUCACACUAAAUCUAAUCAAAUAUAAAUUUACGAUAGAUUUUUGAAAAUCAAUCUUAUUUUCAAUAAAAAUUAUUAUAUAACUAAAAUUCUUCAUAGGAAAAAAAUAAAAAGUCAUUUUAAUAUAUAUAUAUUUUUAAAAAAUUUUGUAUAAUCAAUUUGAUAAAUUUAAAAGGUGAAUCUAUCCAAUUUAAAAAAGGUUUAUGCUAGUUUAGCAUAUUAUAUAUUAUACUAGUCGGUUGCCCGCGCUACGCGCGGGAGUUUAUUAUGUUGUUUAUGAAUAAUUGGUUCGUAUUUUAUUUCGUAUUUAUUUUUUUCACUAUACCAUACUUUACUUUUUUAAAACUUAAAUCGUGUUUAUAUAGAAAAACUAUUGAGUUUUACCUUCAUUAGUCGUUGAGUGAUUAAGUGUGAAGUGCGGUUGAGAAUCAUUGAGAAUCGUGUGCUAUUAUGGUUUUUACUAAAUAUAGAUCUAGAUAUUAAUAUUUUGGACUCUUUUAUAUGUUGGCAUGAAAUUUGAACAUGAUUUGUGGGUUUCGGGCGGAUUGUUGUAUUUUAAAUUGUUUACAUUAUCUCUUUAUAUAUUGUCAUAAUUUAUUAUUUUUGUUUUACGUUUUCCUUUUUUGGAUUUGUCGUACUUUAUAUCUCGUAAUAAUCAUUUAUAUACUAUUAUAUAUUUUUUUCUGAUUUUAUGUUUUAUAUAUUUUUUUUGUUUAUCAUAUGGAACAAUUUUUAAAUUUAACAUAUUAGUAUAAUUUACUUUAUAUUUAGUUUAUUUCAUUUAAUAAUGUUUUUUAUUUUAAUUUUCAAUUUUAUGAAAUAUAGUUAAUUUUAUAUUUUGUUUAUUGUGUUGUAUUGGAGACAAAUAGUUAAAUUCAUAUUGGAAACUUUUAAAGAAAUAUUAUUUUUAUUUUUACCUUUUUAUAUGUUUAUAAAAAAUAAGAAUUCAUGUUUCGGUCCGACCUAUCUCAUUUAUGUUAGAAAAUGUUUUGAGACAUAAAUUAGAUAGAUUUAUAUUCUCAAAAAUUUUAACUUUUCGUUCUAUUCCCGUUAAAUACCAUUAUAUUUAGGUUUACAUUGUGUAAAUAUAAUCAUAUAUAUAUUUUAAACAUUCACUAAAAACUAUAAUCUAUUAUUUAUAUAUUUGUUAGUAUAAUCGAUAAUUAGUAAGUUUUUUUAACUUUUAAUCAAUUAUCUUUUUUAGUUUUAUAAUGUAUAAUAUAAAAAAAGACCUUUCAUAUUCAUUUUUGGAAAACUUAUUUACAUAGGUUUAAAUAUUAAAACUAAAUGAUAAAAUGGUAUAAUUAAUUUUAAAAAUUAAAUAACAAAAUGAGGUGGAUGAUGAUGUGGCUUAAGGAGAAGAGAGAAAAAGUUAACUUUAUAUAUAUAGAUAUAUUUAAUAUGAUUGAAGUAAAGCUUUAUUUUUUUUUUAAACAGAGGAAAAUUAUUACAAAUGAGAUUAAACGAUUUUAAACUUAAUUUUGAUGGUUAUUCUUAAAACUAAAAUAUUUUUUUACCUUAAAUAAAGAUUUGCUUUAUGGUAUAUAUUAUAAAAUAUUUCUCCAAAUUUAAUAAUUUUGUAAGUUAAAUAUUAUGACGUGUCUAUAUUAACAUUUUUGAAAUAUCUUUGUAAGUUAAAUAUUAUGACGUAUCUAUAUUAACAUUUGUGAAGUAUCUUUUGGAAAGUUACCUUUUAUUUUGUAUUAUUUGCAACAUAAACCCUUGCCAUUUCUAUAAUUUUAUUAACUAUAAAGUUUAAAUUAAAAGAUCUACAACUACUUUGAUUUUACUAAAAUAUCUCCCUAAUAAAUUGAAUAUCUCUCAAAUAUUUUUAAAUGAUCUUAUUUGUUUUAAAAUAAAUGAAAGAUGUUACACCAUCGUCAUAUCAUUAUUUGAAAUAUUGUACAUACUUUAUUAAGUUGAUUAAAUUAUGGUUAUAUAUAACAAACAAUUUGUCACGUUGUAUUCUAUAGGUUAAAUCAUAUAAUUAACAAUCACAAUAUCAUUGUACAAUCUUAAAUACUUAAAAUUUAAUAAACAAAUACAACUUAAAAAAAAAAUAGUUGCAAAAAAUUAUUCAACGAACUUAUAAGUAAUUCACAAUCAAAAUACAGCUACACAAUUUUAAACACUAAGCAAAAUUAAAAAAAGAAUAAUUUAAAUAUAAAAAUUUUAGUAAAAAAAUCGUAAAAAUAUAUCUGACAAAGUUUUAUACUAUUUGUAUAAAAUCAAACACGGCUUCUACACAAAUAAGUUACACUGUCCGAUGAAAGGACCAAAAAAAAGAUAUGAACGCACAUACCAAUUAUUUAUUAUCUCUCCCUAAAUUAGUCAUUAACUUUUAGAAUUAUUGAACUCAUUCGAACAACUAAAUUAACUCUUAACAUCGUUUUCCAACGUAUUCACCUUUCUAUUUAUAGUUUGUUCAUUAAAUUAUAUGCGGUGAAGCCACUUCAUUAACCAAUCCUACUCCGAAAGUUGUUUUAUGUUUUAAUCAUUUACAUGGAAUCAAUUUAAGUUGGUAGCUAGGCUACGGACUGAUCUUGAAUGCAAUUGUCAAUGGAAGCAUAUAUCAAGAACCAUAUGCACUAUUUGAUAUAAGAAAUGUAAUAAGAGGAAAUCAAUUUACGUAUUCACAAGAUAAAAAUAACUAUCGAAAUCACUUAUCUAACCAAAAAAAACUUUUUGUUUUCAAGACAAACUAGGUGAGAUAUGAAAAGUUUAACAAUCAAUUUCCCUUUCGACACUAUCAUAUAAUAUAAGAUCUACAUAAGUUUUGGACCUCUUUCCAUUUCUCAAUCAACACAAAGUUCUAAAUCUAUUUACACACAGAUUCAAAUGUUGAAAUCUCAUAAUCUCUACACAUAUACCAAAUCACCUAAAACAAAAAUAAUAAAUGGCAAUUUACUAAACAAAUUAAAAGAAAAAAAAAUGUAGGCAUGAUAGUCUUACUCUUGCUACAGCAAAACUUGACGGUAGUAGAUCCAUCGUAAGUAGCUUUGCGAGAGAAUUUUUUGAUGCCUACGUGACUGGAUAGACGAUGGAGUGUCUAAGUAGCAUUAGAAAACAAAAUUGAUAGAUUGUACAUGCAACCUUGAGAUAUUUGGUGAUAAAAUUAAGUUGGAGUGGUUCAGAAGUUUCAAAUAAUCAUACUUGCAUGUAAGAAUAUAAACUAAAUAAUUUCCACAUUCCCAUAUCAAAAUUUGAGUCACAGCUAAAUUGUUAAGUGUAAGGUAUGCAACUAUAAAAGUUAACAAAAUCAACCAUUGUACGAGAAAACAGAAAAACGUAUUUCAUUUUUUUUUUUUUUGUACAAUGGUUGUUCUCGUCGUACAAAUCUUUGGUUGGUCUGUUUCUUUCAAUCUGAUAGCGACUACUCCCUCCUUUCGUGUAACUUAACUUCUUUCUUACUAACUUUUUUCUAAUGCUACUCAGCUUACCAUGUAUGACUUAAAACUUAGAUAUGACAUUAUUGCAUGUGGUUUUCUAUGUUGUUGCUUAACUAGACACAUCGAUCUUAUAUAAAUAAUAAUUGUGAGAUAAAAGAAAUGAAUGAUUAACCAUAUGUCUCCAUUAAUUUAUAAAAAAGUUAAGAAAAUCUAUAACAUAAAAUAUGUGAAUCUAAACAAUCAAUCAUUUUUAGUACGAGAUAAGAAACGAAUCUCAGAAUUUAAUUUAAAAAAUAUUUUAAAUAAAUUGAACGCUAAUUUUCUUUUGUACAUCUUACUUUUACUAAAUACAGUGUGUAAUAUACUUAAACUUAACUUACAAUGUAGUACCAUAUUUUAAAAUAAAAUCAAUGUUUUGUAACAUUCACUUUUAUGUACCACUUUUUAAACAGGUCGCAAGAUACAAAUCUAAAACUCCUAAUUUUUAAUGGAUAUUUUAUUAUUAAAGUAUGUAAUAAUUAUAUAAAAUAUGAACCAAUCAAACAAGACAGUGUUAACAAGAGUUUUUAAGUAUCUUCCCUAAAAACUCAUGGAUAUGAACAACAUUAUUGGUAAUAUUUUAGCCAGAUCUUAGCUAAGAUUUGUGAAGAAAAAGAUCUUGGCAUCUUAACAUAGAUAAAGCAGAUUACGUACAAUGAACAUCCUUGGUGUUAGAUUUCACAAUGUAUAUGAGUCUCUCAAGGUCCAUGAAAAUUUCAUAAAUUCGGAGCAUGCAAGAAGCUGGCUUAUACCGCAAUAUUUGUCAAGGUCAUAGCCUAAUUAUCUUUGAGGACGCUAAAACAUUGCAGCCCAUCUAUUUAACUCACGAUUUCAACCUCUCAGCUCUUGAGCUUAUCUUUUUCGAUCACAAUCCCAUUUCUUAACUCAAUUAAGCAAUUGUUCAUCAUCAAUCAAUUUUUCUGUUCGAUCAUAAUCUCAAUUAUUCAGCUGUGAGACCUACUGUAGAUGUAACACAGAUUAAUGAGUAGAUACGAAAGAAGUGCCAUAUCACUUUUUCAAACCGAGAAGCUCUGUAUAACUAACUGGACAUGGUUAAACUUAUAAGUCUAUGUCAGUAAUUUUGAGCAAAUUACGUUGGCAGCUGACCACAACAGGUAGAGAAUUAUUAUAAACAAUAAUUCCUAGAUAGAACUUAAAAGACUUGCAAAUUGAAAACUCGUCCAAGUCUUUAUAAAAAAGCAAAAAACACACAAAAAGAUAGUCAUAAUCAGAUACUUGAUAAUAAUAAAUUUUCGAAUAAACAAACUCAGAGCCAGCCAAAAUCUAAGUUUAACAAACAAACUCUCCAACUGAUGCUCGAAAACAAGUUUAAGCUGAUGAAGCUGCUGCCUUGAUUCUUGGCUUCGCUUCGGUACCUAAUUCAAGAACCAAAAUGUACAACAUUUCAAUCGUAAAUAACAGUUUCUUAUUGUGAACUAAAAGAAAUGAUGGAAUAUAUAUAAAAAGGGUAAGCACCUUCUCUGAAACCAGUCUUGAACCUGCGAGGGACGUUGCGAAGGUACCUCAUCCUUCCAGUUCCAGUAGUCUUUCUACGGAUUGCCUUCACACUCCAGUUGUCUUACAACAUGAAUACACAUACAUUGAUCAGUACUAUCCACAAAAUGGCAGAUUACAAAAUUUGAAUAGAAGACAGUGCUAUGAAUGUAACUGAGAAGCUUAACAGGAGAGACCAAACAUAAGAGAGCAUAGAGCAGAUACUCAAUUCAAUCAGGAUUCAAUAAGACCAUAGAGCAGAUACUCGUCACAGAGUUAUGUAAAUUCUUACUAAAGAUUCAUAGUGCAUUCAAUUGGUAUUCAUUCUUAGAUAUGAAUAACCAAGCUCUCAAUGAGAAGCAUCACUCAACAUAUCAUACUUACAAAGGAAUGAUUUAAUCCCUAAACAAAACCUAAUCAUAAGAAUCCUAAUUCUGAUUCAGAAUCAAUGGAUUGAAAUGAAGAAUAAUCCAUUUCUUAAUCUAGGAAGCGAAUACGAUGCAAAAUGAGAGAUAGAGAGAGAAGAGAGUCGUACAUGUCCUCUUGCGAGCGGCGGGGUAAGCACAAGCAGAGCAACGACUCUUCUGGAUGUGGAAACUACGACGUCCACAUCUGACGCAGAGUGUAUGACUCUUGUUUCUCCUCUUUCCGAAACUUCCCGUUCCCUUUCCCUGAUAAUCUCAAUACAAAAACCUAAUCAGUGAUGAAGAGAUCGACGAUGCAAUAGAGAUGAAACAGAGAUAAAGAGAGAAUCGUAAAUCACCAUUGAAGCUAAAUGCGAGUUUCCAGAUGAUACAAAAAAACCUUGAGGUUCCGGCUUCAGAGACAGAAGUGACGACGGAAUGUCAACAAAAGUUUAUAUAAAGCUAGGGUUUUCUUCUUUUUAUUAGGGUUGUGUGACAAUUCUGUUACUGGAUCGCUUAGACCCAGGGCCAUGAGCCUUUAAACUUUAAUAAGCCUUUUUAUAUUUGGCCCAUUCCGAAUAUUAAAACCGGAAACGAAUUUUCUUCCCUACUAUUCCGAAAAAUUGUUGUUUCAGUCUUAAAUAGUUAAAUUUCAAUACUUGGCGAACAAUUUAUUCCAUAAAGGUGAUUUUGUUCUCCAAGUAUCAUAUAAAUACUUUUUUUGGUCCUCAAGCUAUCGUCGAGAGAAGGUUUGAGUAGGAGACGAUUGAUAGAGUCAUAAACAAACCUUCUUCUCUCAUCUCAAGGAAACAAAAGAGAUCAAGGUUUCAAUUACAGUUGUUCCUCGUCGUUCAUGGUACGUUUUCUCUCUUUGCCUCCAUUACUUUUUUACGAAAACAAUUUGUGUAAGAAAUUACACCAUGAAGGAAGAACAAUGGUCAAUUUCUAGAACUAUGCCAUGAAUGAUGAAGAACGUACAAUAUGAUAUUUUCAAGCUUGUUUCUGAUGGACCUUUUUAAAAAUAUUCCUUUGUUUAGGUGAUUGUCUCAUUAGUACAUUCAGUGGUUAAACUUGUGGCUGCGGUGGUUUAUCAACCAGUGGCUUCCGUCUCCAUGUUACUUUUUUUUAGUGGUCUUCUUCCUCGGAACCUUCAAUCAGAAAGACUAACCGGCCGUGAAUUCAUGAUUAGCUAGUCCAAUUUCUUGUAUCUCUUCUAAAAUGUUUAUGUUAGUUUUCUAUUUUUAUAAGAUUAAGGAAAUUACAUCAAUUAUGCUUUUUAAAAAAUUAUUUUGAAAAGAAAAACAUUUUAAUCGCACAGGACCAAGAAAGUAAAAGAAAAUUCACUUUGAAAACAAUCGGAAAAUCAGGAAACUUACUCUAAAUUUCCAAAAAAAAUUCGAGAUAAUUAACAAAUAUAAAAAUAAAUUGAAAAAAGUCCAAAUAUAAACUAUUUACUCCAAAUUAUAAAUCCAUUAGUUACUGAAAUAGAUUUUAGAAAUUGUGAAUUAUAUUAUUUCAACCAAUUUUUAUUAAAAUAUUGUUUAUUCGUAGAAAAAAAUUACAAACGAAAUUUCAGAGUUUAACACUUUAGUUUAGCGCGCGCUAAACAAUCUGCCUUCAAAUUACCAGAAUCUGAAAUUUGAGAGAGAAAUAAAUUGUGAAUUUAUAAACAAGAGAAUCUGAACACUGAGGUUAUGUUUGUAAUAAUCCAUAAUGAUCAUGUAGGGUGAGAAGUUGUAAAAUCAAGUAAUAUAAGGGUCGGAAACUAAUAGGGAAGAAACAAGAAAAUAAGAUUUCAUUUUCCGAACUACCCACUGACUUGUCCGAAGUCCAUCUCCUGUCUCCUCCAUUAACUCGCCAUUAAAACCCUUUUUCUUUCUCUCUCUGUCGGGACUCUGCAAUUCUACAGUUACAUAAAAAAAAAACCUUAUGACCAACGAAAGACCCAUUUUUUCAUUACUCUUCACACAAUCAUAAAGUCUGCUUUUUUUCUUCCCGAUGGUAUGACUUAAACGGUAGUUUCCAGUUUCCCGAUUAAGCUUCUCUUUCCGAUGAUGGUUUACAGGUUUCCGAUUUGGCAAAAAUUGAGGCUAAUUUGGUUUGAUUUUUUUAGGGUUUUGUGAAGCUGUAGCUAUGGAGCUGAAGUUUGUCUUUUGCCGGAAACAAUCACUCUUCUUGAUUUCUUGUUUGGCUCUGCUUUAUCUCGCGUCCUUGGACACUGUAAGUGAUUCAAGAACUAGGGUUUCUGAACUUGCUCGAAUCUUUUCACAGAUUUUGAAGUGGUAAUUUAUGUUCGUUAGUUGAUUGAUCGAUAAAAGGUGAAAUUUUUGAAAUGAUUUUUUGCAGAUAUCAAGUGAAUCAACUCAGAAUGCAACUGAUGUCAAGCAAAGAUCUCGCAAAGGUACAAAGUUGUGAUUUUGUGCUCUGAUGUGAAUAUCAUUGCUGAGAACAAGAGUCUCAUGUAUUUACUGUUAGUGAUUCUCUAUGUACAGCGUCUUGUCCUCCUGAUUGGAUCAUUGGAUCGAACCAAACGAAAUGCUAUGCUUACUUUAAAAACUCCACUUCAUGGGAGAAGUCAGAGAUGUUCUGUAGAACCUAUGGUGGUCAUUUAGCAUCCUCUGCAUCGAGUAAAGAACUCAGCUUUGUUCAAAAACUAUGCAAUGUGAACUCUAGUGGGUGUUGGAUUGGAGGAAGAAGUCUGAAUUCUUCUUCUACCUCUGGUUUCCACUGGAGCUGGUCUGAUCCCAAGACGCCUCAAUGGAACCAAUCCAUGUUUCCCAAAGUGCCAAUUCGCACCCGCUGUGGCAAUGGCAAUGGCAGUGCAUUUUGUCGUGCUAAUAUAUGUAUAGCCGUGACAAACGGCUCAUCGCCAGUCUUUGGUGAAAGAUGUAAUGCCUCUCGUGCUUUCAUUUGCGCGGUUGAUUCUGGUAAUGGCCUCUCUCUUUCUUCUAUAUUUUUGCAUUUGUACUACUUAGUCCAUUAUAAUUGUUAAUUAGGGAACAUUGUUAGGAGUAAGUGAACAUUGUCUACAGAGAGAUCUUGAUCUGCCUAGUUUCUCUUCUUUGCAGAUUUCAAAUGUCGCAAUUGUCACAAAUAUGUAGUUAUCCUAGCUGUUGUCAGUGGUUUGAUUCUCUUUACCACAUUCGCCAUCAUAUUAUGGCUCCUUGUCUACAAACGAAGCAAGAAACGCCGUAAAUCCCGGAAAGUAUCAAAUCCAGCUUCUUCCUCUUCAGCUUUAGUUCCUCCCUCAUGGAAGAUCUUCACCAGCGAAGAACUGAGAUCAAUGACAAAGAACUUCAGUGAAGCAAACCGUCUGGCCGGGGAUGCGAAAACAGGUGGAACUUAUACCGGUGGUUUAUCAGACGGGACUAAAGUGGCGGUUAAGAGACUGAAAAGGUCUAGUUUUCAGAGGAAGAAAGAGUUUUACUCUGAGAUUAGAAGAGCAGCCAAACUUCAUCACCCGAAUGUAGUAGCCAUCAAAGGUUGUUGCUAUGAUCAUGGAGAACGUUUCAUUGUUUAUGAGUUCAUAGCUAGUGGACCGCUUGAUAGAUGGCUGCACCAUGUGCCUAGAGGUGGUAGGAGCUUAGACUGGAGCAUGAGGCUGAACAUUGCCACAACUCUUGCCCAUGGAAUCGCGUAAGUCGAAUCUUAUAACAUUAGCUUCUGUUUUGAGAAAUUAUGACAAGAUUUAAGCUUAACUUCUAGUCUUUACGUUGGAAAAAACAGGUUUUUACAUGACAAGGUCAAACCACAAGUGGUGCACCGUGACAUACGUGCAAGCAAUGUACUGCUGGACGAGGAGUUUGGAGCUCAUUUAAUGGGCGUUGGUCUCUCAAAGUUUGUUCCUUGGGAAGUAAUGCAAGAGAGAACCGUAAUGGCGGGUGGAACCUACGGUUACCUCGCACCCGAAUACGUAUACAGAAACGAGCUCACGACGAAGAGCGAUGUCUACAGCUUCGGAGUCCUUUUGCUUGAGAUUGUGAGCGGUCGUAGACCAACUCAAGCGGUUAACUCUUCAGUUGGGUGGCAGAGCAUAUUCGAAUGGGCUACACCGUUGGUUCAGGCUAACAUGUGGUUAGAGAUUCUUGAUCCGGUUAUCACGUCUGGUUUACCGGAAGCAAGUGUGGUUCAGAAAGUUGUGGACUUGGUUUAUUCAUGUACUCAGAAUGUGCCAUCGAUGCGUCCAAGGAUGUCACAUAUUGUCCAUCAGCUUCAGCAAUUGGUCCAACCAUUAGAUGUAAAAUAACUUAUAGCUUAAGUCCCAAUAAUAAGAAACCUUUUUGUUUGACUGUAGAAUCGAAUCUUAGGAGACAUUUCAUUGUCCAAUUACUACAAUUUCAUGGAAAAGGUUAAGAAACGUUGUCGUAUUAGAGAAGGUUCUUGGAAGUUUAUAGGAUUACAGCUAAAGGUCCUUGUUAACUAAGUAGUUCUGUAUAACAAAACUAAAGCUUGUUCCCUAAGUCGCAAAUAUAUAAUUUAUAUAAUAAAACUAAAGUUUCAUUGAAUAUACAAAGACCAUAUCUAUCCAAAACAUUUCAAAGAUAAAGUCUUCGUUUGUGUAUAUAUAUCUCUUCUACUCUUAUCUUUUAACAAGAAACUUAUUGGUUCUUUACUUUGCUUCAUAGCUUUUGCAAUAUUCUGAUUCUGAGUAUUACUUCAACAUUAUUCACUAAACCAACGUUUAGAUUCUUCUGUAUUCUUUUCAUAUAAAGGUUUGGUCCUUUUGUUUACCAUCUUCUUGCCUCUAGAAAUCCAAAACAAGAUGUUUCUUCUUAGGUGCUUUAAACCCAAGUUCUACAAGAAAAGGUGUUUAAGUCUUUUGCCACUCUGUUUUGUACUUUAAAAGUUUUGAAUCUUUCUGAACAAUUUUAUAACUAAUCCUUGUUCUUGGUGAAUUGCAGCAAAUCUACAACCAGCUACAUGAAGAUUCGGCUUGAUAUAGUGAGGAAGAAAAGGAUUGCAAUGGUUAGAAAUUAUAAGACAGAUAUUGUGAACUUCCUCAAUAAUGGCCAAGAUUAUGAAGCUUACAGAAGAGUAAUUAAGACUUAUACUCUCUCAUUAUAUAAUACUAAGCUUUCUUUCUUACAUUAAGGUUUUGCUAAUCUCUUUCUUGUUACUGCAGGCAGAUCUAUUACUCGAAGAGCUUAGAAUAAUAUCGUGCUACGAUCUCAUCGAGCGAUUCUGCGAUUGUAUUUCUGAAAAUCUCCCCCUGAUGCUGAAGAAAAGGUAUACAUCUUUGUUAUUAAUCUCUAAGUUUCAGUCCAAAAGUUCUCAAAAAUUACUAACUUGUUGUAUUUUUUAUUCUGUUUCCUUCACUUUUAGGGAAUGUCCUGAAGAAUGCAGAGAAGCUGUUUCCUCUUUGAUAUAUGCAACUGCAUGGGUUCCCGAUGUUCCUGAACUGAAGGAUCUUAGAGCCGUGUUUACUAAAAGAUUUGGAAAUUUUGUUGCUUCAUCUGUAAAUCAUGAGGUUGGUUGAUUAUUAUUAAAAACACUACACAUUGUCUCAUUUCUUGUACUGACAGUAUGUCUUUUUGAAAUCUUGCAGCUCGUUGAGAGAACUGGAUCGCGAAAACUACCUUCACGAGAACUCAAGAUUCUUACAGUGAAAGAUAUUGCGAAUGAGUUUUCGAUUAACUGGGAUCCUACAGCUCUGAAACUGAUGCUACUCAGAGAGACUUCAGCUCUGCAGGUAAAUUAUGUGUUGUAGAACUUUGACUAAAGAAAAAACAUCGAUUUCUUUGUAGGUUUUGGUUGGUCUAAUGUCUGAAAAGUGUUUAGAUUGAGGGGAAUAUGGAGACAGGAGCUGAUGAUCAGAAGCUUGAGACAGAGAAAAGUAUGAUAGAUGAUCAAAGCGAGGACGAAUCGGUUCUUUCAGAGAGUACUUGGCGAGGAGAAUUAUUGUCCAAAGGCAGUUUUAGUUCUAGCUCAAGCUCGAGUUCGAGUUCUCUAAGAAGAGAAUCUGUGCGGAAGAAGACGAGGAAGAAGAUUUUACCUUACGGUAUAAUAUCUCCUUCAUACAAUGAUGAGAAAGCACAAGAAGAGGAGAAAGAAGAGAAUAGAAAGAGUAUGGAUCAAGAAAACUCGAGGUCGCUUGGUAUACAAGGCAGUAAGAGUCUCACAAGCACAAGCAAUAAGGAAGUUUCCACAACAAGAGAGAACAAGAGAACGUCGUCGUUUGAAAGACCAAAGCUCUUGGAUUAUGAUGAUGUGGUGAGUCGUCUUGCAGCUCUGCGCCGGAGAUAAGAAAGUGUCAAAGUAGUCAUUAUGUAAUUAAGGGUUUCUUAAUUCUCUUCGUAGUUAAAAUUCAUUAGUAUAUUCGUAAUUCAAUAUGUAAUUAUCCUUAUGACUUUGUAAUUAGUCCACUAGUUGAUUAAUCUUUUAACAACGGAUCGGAUGAAACUUUUUAUAUUCAUAUACACUUGUUAAAAUAUAAUCAAAGCUAAGGACAGAACGUUCUGAACGUGUUAUCAAAGGUUUGAAGGAAACAACCGGUGGGCAAAUCUUGUUGUAUCUCAGGAUUGGUCGUCUUGGCCUUUGUCAAAUCAUCAGUGAGAAAGCAUAUAAUUGUUUUAAUUUGAUCUUACUAUCAGUGGAUCCAUAACAAGUGCAAAUAGUGUAUAGUGAGAAAUCCAUUAGCUUAUGUCAUUAGAAUUUUAGAAAGUAGAGAUUCUUAUAGAAUUGUGUUUAGAACAUCAAAAGAUUUAUGUUGUCACCCGUAACUCAGUAACCGAGUUAUAAAACACAACUUUAUAUGAAUCUCUAUUUGCUAAAACCCUGAUAACAUAGGUUAAUGGAUUUUACUCAUAUAUUGGACACUGACUCUAUUAUGGAAUUCUUAUGAACCGACUAAUUUUACCAUAAAAUAAAGAAUGAUUUCGGAUGAAUGGAAAAUGCAAAUUAAACCUUGAUUUCUGCAUAUGGUUUAUUGAAAAAGUUGGAAAAAAAUACAUUAUAUCUUUUGAAGACUUGAUCGAGGUUGUAUCCAAAAAUUUAGGAAACUAUAAAGAGUUGUUAUAUAAUGAGAAUCUUGUUGAAUUAGAUGAAGAGAAUAUUUAUCAAUAUAUAAUGAUUCUUAAUGGUUGUUUCACUCUUAUGAAAGUUAAGAGUAUCCCCGAAUAAUCGAAUCAUUUUUUUCUAGGUAUAGGUAAAAACGUACGUACCUUAAUCCUCAGAACUGGUCCUUUGCUAUUAGGGCAUAAUACAUGAUGAAGCUUGUGGUUUAAGCGUCACCCAUUUAAAGGUUUACAACAGUACUCUAGACAUGGAUUACGGUUCAAGCUUGUGUUUAUUUUUUCAGUUAAAUUUUUAUAUUUUAUAAUCUUUUGUUCCAAGCCGACAUACAAUUUUCUUUUCAAAAUAGUUGUGUGUAUGAUUGUAUCGAAUCGUAGUUUACGUCCUCCAAAUAUUCAAGUAUUUUUAUUUAUUAUCAUUUAUUUUGUCGGCUAAUAAUUUUGUAUUAAAUUAUGUUUUAACAAAAUUUUGUAUAAUCAAAAGAUUAGCCCAGAUAAAAAUAUACGACCAUCGUACAUAUUCAUAACUUCAUCUAUGUUUUUUGGAGACAAAAAAAAAAGAACAUCUUUAUAUAGUGAAAUUGAAUAGUAGACGACGAAGAAUUACAAAUACAAAAAGUUCAAAAAAAAAGAAAAGAAAAACGAUAUAUUCGCUUGUUAACUUUAUAACUUUAUCCACGUCAUUACCCCCUGAGAGUAGCCCAACGAAAAAUGGAAAAUUUAACCAAAAAUAUAGAAAAAGCCUUUUCUAACAACUGCAACGACGUCGUAUCAUCUUCUCUCUAUUAUUAUUCUUCUUCUUCCUUAAAAACUUAACUCCAAAGCUUUUUGAGUUUCCAUCUCUGUCUCUCUCCGAUCGAUCUGAAGUAGUAAGUAGCAGAGAGAGCUUUCGAGAGGAAGAAGAUGGGUUGUGCCCAAUCUAAGAUCGAGAACGAAGAAGCUGUUACUCGUUGCAAAGACCGCAAAAAGUUGAUGAAAGAUGCCGUCACUGCUCGUAACGCUUUCGCCGCCGCUCACUCUGCUUACGCCAUGGCUCUUAAAAACACCGGAGCUGCUCUCUCCGAUUACUCCCACGGCGAAUUUUUAGUCUCUUCCGCCUCCGCCGCUGCUGCUAUCGCUUCUACCUCUUCUCUUCCCACCGCUAUUUCUCCUCCUCCUCCUACUUCCGCCGCCGCUGUUUCUAAUUCCGCCGCUUCUUCUUCUUCUUCCUCCGCCGCGAUUCCUCAGUCGAUUCCUGAUACUCUUCCUCCUCCUCCUCCGCCUCCGCCUCUUCCUCUUCAGCGUGCUGCUACUAUGCCGGAGAUGAACGGUAGAUCCGUUGGCGGUCCUUCUGGUAGUGGUCUCAACGGUAUUGAAGAAGACGGAGCCCUAGAUCACGAUGAUGAUGAUGAUGAUGAUGAAGAAUCCGAAGUGGAGAAUCGUGACCGUUUGAUUAGGAAAUCGAGAAGCCGUGGAGGUAGUAAUAGAGGAGGUAGGCCGAUGAUUGAUGAUCAUCAUCAUCACCUAGAGGAGAAGGCGCCGCCGCCUCUUCCGGCCACUAAUUCACGGCCAACUCCGCCGCCACGUCUGCAUCAGCAUCAACAACAGCAGCAACAACCUUUCUACGAUUACUUCUUCCCUAAUGUUGAGCAUAUGCCUGGAACCACGUUAGAAGACACUCCUCCGCAACCACCACAACCAGAGGUUUCAAAACCUCUGCCUCCCCAACCGCGGUCACCUGUUACAGAGGAAGAUGAUGAUGAUGAUGAUGACGAUGAUGAUGAUGAAGAAGAAGAAGAAGAGGAGGCGGUAGAGACUGUACCUGAAAGGAAAGCUCCCGUGGAGGAAAGACCGAAGAGAGUUGAGGAAGUGAGUGUUGAAUUGGAAAAAGUUACUAAUUUGAGAGGGAUGAAGAAGAGUAAAGGUAUGGCGAUGGCUGGAGAGAGGAGAGGAGUGAGAAUGCCGGGGACGACGAAUUUGGGGAAUGUAUUCACUGAGCUUGAUGAUAACUUCUUGAAAGCUUCUGAAAGUGCUCAUGAGGUUUCUAAGAUGCUUGAAGCAACUAGGCUCCAUUACCAUUCUAACUUUGCAGAUAACCGAGGUAAUAAUCUCUACAAUUUGCUGGAGAAACAAAAGAUUACUUUUUUUAUUGGUUUGGUUGCUUUAAGAUUAUGUGUUGUUGUGACAGGACAUAUUGAUCACUCUGCUAGAGUGAUGCGUGUAAUUACGUGGAAUAGAUCGUUUAGAGGAAUACCAAAUGCUGAUGAUGGGAAAGAUGAUGUCGAUUUGGAAGAGAAUGAAACUCAUGCUACUGUUCUUGACAAAUUGCUAGCAUGGGAAAAGAAGCUCUAUGAAGAAGUCAAGGUAACAAUUUCAAAACUUGUCUCUUUUAAUGCUUGUGCUUGAUGAAAGAUUCUUGCAGCCAUGUUUAGUCUUCUGAUAAAAGUCGAUGUUUGUGAACGUGGUAUUUGUCUCUUUGAUUGUUUCGUGGUUAUGCAUUAGCGAACCUGACGUGUGUUUCUAUUGGAAGUCUGAUUUUGGGAUAAAUUUUUGCUGGAUUUAGGCCGGUGAACUCAUGAAAAUCGAGUACCAGAAAAAAGUUGCUCAUUUAAAUCGGGUGAAGAAACGAGGUGGUCACUCAGAUUCAUUAGAGAGAGCCAAAGCAGCGGUUAGUCAUUUGCAUACAAGAUACAUAGUUGAUAUGCAGUCCAUGGACUCCACAGUUUCAGAGAUCAAUCGUCUUCGGGAUGAACAACUAUACCUAAAGCUCCUUCACCUUGUCGAGGCGUAAGUUUCACUUCUUGGUAGAUUUUGUUUUUGAUGAUGUUUUAGACGAGAAGAAGUUGAGUUUUUUUCGAUUUUCUUUUUUUUUGCAGGAUGGGGAAGAUGUGGGAGAUGAUGCAAAUGCAUCAUCAAAGACAAGCAGAGAUCUCAAAGGUUUUGAGAUCUCUAGACAUUUCGCAAGCGGUGAAAGAAACAAAUGAUCAUCAUCACGAACGUACUAUCCAGCUCUUGGCAGUGGUUCAAGAAUGGCACACACAGUUUUGCAGGAUGAUAGAUCAUCAGAAAGAAUACAUAAAGGCACUUCUGGGAUGGUUAAAGCUAAAUCUCAUACCUAUCGAAAGUACACUCAAGGAGAAAGUAUCUUCGCCUCCUCGAGUUCCCAAUCCCGCAAUCCAUAAACUCCUCACCAUUUGGUAUGAUCGUUUAGACAAAAUCCCUGAUGAAAUGGCAAGAACUGCCAUAAUCAAUUUUGCAGCGGUUAUAAGCACGAUAAUGCAGCAGCAAGAAGAUGAGAUAAGUCUCAGAAACAAAUGCGAAGAGACAAGAAAAGAACUGGGAAGAAAAAUUAGACAAUUUGAGGAGUGGUACUAUAAAUACAUGCAAAAAAGAGGACCGGAGGGGAUGAAUCCGGAUGGGUCAGAAGCGGAUAACGAUCAUAAAGACGAGGUAGUUGUGAGGCAAUUCAAUGUAGAACAAAUUAAGAAGAGGUUGGAAGAAGAAGAAGAAGCUUACCACAGACAAAGCCAACAAGUUAGAGAAAAGUCAUUAGCCAGCCUUCGAACUCGCCUUCCCGAGCUUUUUCAGGCGAUGUCUGAGGUUGCAUAUUCAUGUUCGGAUAUGUAUAGAUCUGUUACGUAUAUGACUCAGCGGCAAAGCCAAAGCGAACGGCAUCAGAAACCUAGCCAGGGACAGGGUUCGUAAGAACUCAUGUAAAGAUCAGGGACUCACAGACGAGUAAUGUCUUCUUUUUCUAUGAUCUUGUAUUUUUUAAGCAUACACAAAUACGACGUAUAGUUAAUUUUUUAUCAUUGCUUUCUUGUAGAAAGGUUUGUUACAAUUAAGAUUCAUAUAGUGUUUGAUUUAUAAGGAAUUGUUCUGUUGAGUUAUAAGAACGUUGUGUAUUGAGCAUUUGUAAUUUUGUAUAGUGAUGAAUCAUUGGAAUUUAUCAACCCAUAUAUAUUAUACGUACAAACCAAGGGUUUUGUGAUUUAAAACUCUGUGAAACUUUACUGUGAUAGUGUGACCAAAUAAAAAAGCUGGCAAGUUUAUGUGUUUCUUCCUCUAAGUUGAACCAAGAAGGUAAUGUAUGCCAAAGAGAAGAAAUAGCUUUAAAGUUCAUCAAACCAAAAUAUUGUCUUUGAAAAUUCUGAAACUUUGCUAGUUCCUCAAGCUAAAUAAAGACUAACAACUCGAGAGAGCUUCACAUAAAUGCCAUCGAUUAAACUCUUUUUCUUCUGUGCUUUGUCUCAAUCUCAUCUCUUAACUCCCUUGAAUCAAUUUCCUUGCGUUUGGCGAUGAGCUGUCUGAGUUUUCCAGUGAUGCCCCCAAGUCCGAUUUGGGUGAAGAACUUGAUGGAAAACAGUGUGUUUUUCAGAUGGUCUUUUGGGAAGAUGGACUCGAAUGUCUCCUCCAUGGUUGGAUCAUGAAGCUUUUCAUUCAAAACCUUAAUUCCUAAUUGCUCAGAGAGUUGUAGGAAAAGGUUUUUGAGAAAGAUACGUGAUGAAGGAGUUGUGUCUUCCUCUGUUAACUGAACAUAUCCAAGAACAUGCCAAGGAAGAGCGUCAGUGGCCAGGAGAUGCCCAAAGAAGGUGGCUACACUCAUUAACUUGUUGGUGUCGAACCGGUGCACCAUAGAAUAUUGCUGAACAAACAGAUUCUGGAAACAUUCUCUGUAAACUUUGCUUCUGAGGCAGAACCGGUGUGCUAAGUGACCAUAGAAGGAUCGAUAUGUUUUCUCCUCAGUGCAACAUUCUAGCACCAUAACACAUAGCUCCAUCUCUUGACCUGGUUCUAGUCUGAUCUUGAGCAGCUUAUGCCCUGCUUCUUCGAAAUCAAGACUUACAUUAUAGUUUGAUAAAUUGUCCUCCUGAGAUUGACAAGAUCAGUCUCUGUAUCAUCUUGUAUUGCUCUAUCUUCUGCUUCAUUAUCCUCAUCAUCUUCUUCUUCUAGGCCUUUAUCUUGCUCCCCAAAUAUCUCCUUCUUCAGAAGCUCGUACUUGUUCUCAUUUUGCUGGAACGCAGAGUCGGUUUUGAAGACAUCAAGUGAACUCUCUGGAUCGAUAACAUCGAGGAAAGAGAUGUCAUGUGUCACUUGCUCUUCUGAAUCCACAAGCAGAUCAAGUUCAGGACGAAUUGCUGGAUGACCUUUAAAACUGAUUCUCCUAAGAGCAACCAAAGACUCAAUCAAACAACGUGACCUAUACUCCAAGUCACCUUCAUGAAGAAUCCUACGAAAGCUGUCGAAAAUUAGGUUAAGAGCUCUACGAGACGCUUCUUGAAGCAUAGCUCCACACUCUGUAACAAGUACAACAGCAACCUCGACACUAUCUCCCGUAGGCUCAACGAGAAGCUUUACGACAAGCUCAAGAGCAACAGUCUCGUGAACCACACGCUGGUUCACCAAAUGCGCGAGGAACCUCACGACAGCUAACAAACGAGGCUUGUCGUUACGGUCAUUAUAAGUCUUUCGGAAUUGCAAAACCAAUCUUCUCAACAACAAGUCUCCGACCAAAGGGAUCCUCGAAUUGACGACAGAGAUCAAAGCCGCGAUGACGUCGGAGAAUAGAGGAGAAGCGAUCUGAGAUUUGAUACAUGAUCUGCAUAAAAGACCUCUGCCUCUGAUGAGAUUCUCUUCCAACAAUUCUAAAACAACGUGACGGAGAUUGUUUGUGUUUACCUUAUUGACUAAUCCAUUGAUUCGUCUACGAAGCUCGUCCCAUGAUUCACGCUCUACAUCACGAGUCUCCUCUUUCCUCUUCAAAGCAGGUACGAUGUAGCGUCCUUCCAUGUCUCAGCAGAGAAAGCAAAUAAUUUUAAUUAGGGUUUUUAUGAUUGUUGAUAACUUGAUAUAUACACCACGUACAACGCUCUUUACCCUUUUUUUUGUUUUUAAUAUUUUCCUUUUUUAAAAAAAGAAAAUAAAACAUUCGGUUCACAUCAAAUUUAGUUCACCAACACUACAGGAAAUUGAUUAGAGCGAUAAAUGAGAAGAAUGUACGAAAACAUGUUUACACAAUAGAACCCUCUAAAUGAGAAGAAGGUUUUCACUUAGGGCCACUACAACAACCAGAGCAACAACUCUUGUUACUUGUUUCCUCACUCUUUUGCAGCAAGCCAACUUCUAGAUCCUCUGCUUCAUCCUCCACCAGUGAAGGAGGAGGAGAAGAAGGGGAAGCACGGUAACAUGCAGACACGGCUUCACGCUCAUCACGUAGAAGCAUCAUACUAUUGAGUAUCACAAGCAAACAAGUUCCUGCAUCUGCGAGAACAGCUGCCCAAACCAGAGGGUAACCUGCAAAACCAAGCACCAUAAUUGCUCCUUUUAUGCUCACAGACAAAACUACAUUCUCAAUCACUUUCUUAUGACUUCUUUUCGCUAGUCUCAUCCCUUUUGGGAUCUUCCUUAUAUCGUUUGACAUAAGAAUGAUGUCUCCUGUCUCUGUUGCAAGUGCUGACCCAGAGAUUCCCAUUGAAAUGCCAAUGUCUGCUUUAGCUAAAGCCGGUGCAUCGUUAAGCCCGUCUCCCACCAUCAUUGUAGCCCCUUGGCUCUUGAACUCAUCGAUGAUUCUCGCUUUGUCUUGUGGAAGAAGUUCAGAGUGAACAAUAUCCAAAGCAUUCCCUAACUGUCAAAAUAUAACUCACUGAUUAUAUGACUCACAAAGAUAAGGAGAGAGGGAAAAAUAGUUAGAUAAUGACCUGUUCUUGAGUAGUCAUGGCUGCGUCUUGGUUAUCUCCUGUGAGCAUUGCAGUUUUGAUUCCUAAGAUUUUUAGUUCCUUGAGAGCUUGAGCAACCCCAUAUCUACAGCCGUCCAAAAGACAGAAACUUCCGGCCAGUUUUGCUCCAAUGUAUAUGUAACCAAUGGUUUUACCCCGCUUCAUAUCAGCUUCAAUAUCCGGAACUUUAUGUAACAAUACAUCCACAAAUAAGAGAUGUUGCAAAUGUUAGAUACAUGAAGAACAAGAACAAUACUAGAGACUUCCCAAAGCAAUGAAUGUAACUUUCAAUUGAGACCUGUUAAGCAUCCAGCUCUCUGUGCAAUUGUUUUGUUUCCAAUGUAGAUAUCUUGACCAUCUAUUCUCCCAUAGACUCCUUCUCCUGGAAAGUUUUCAAAGUUCUCGACUACAUCAGGCUUAGGCUCAACAGAGCUUGAUCUUGCAUGGUCAAUAAGUGCUGCUGCCAUCGGAUGAUUUGACUUGCUCUCGAUGCUCGAGACCCUAUGAUGAAAACAUCUCAAAAGUGUCUAACCAUCCAUAUAUAUAAUCUCAUACACCCUAUAAUGGUAAAUUUUGAUAAAGUCAACUAAAAACAUACUUACAAGUAAAGCAAAGUGUGCAGAUUGAUAUUGUGAGAAAGAGACCUAAAAUCUGAGACCGUGAACUCAGCUUUUGUAAUAGUUCCUGUUUUGUCAAAAGCAAUAAUCUCGAUCUUUGCCAGGGUCUCUAGACAAUCACCAGUUUUGAUCAGAAAACCGGACGUGGCUGCCUUAGUAAGAGCACAAAAUGUAGCGACAGGUGUGGAUAAGAUAAGACCACAUGGACAACCGCUUACUAACACUACGAGUGCUAAGUGAAACCAAUGGCUGAGGUUGGGAACCUUUAACAAAGCCGGGAUUACAGCGAAACAUGCUGCUAAUAUAACAACAGCUGAAAAAACAAC